GUGUCAGCCGAGAAGUGGGGAUUGUCGCAUUCUGUAAAUUCAAUAAGUAUCAAAAAAAAAGUAAUAUGAUUUGCCAUCCUGGUACUCCAUUGUGCAGCCAGCUGCUUCCCAAUGUGUACUGUCAUCAAGCCAGUCUAUGAAAUGGAGAGGAUUGCUUAAUAACAAUGCAUAAAAAACCAAGUAUUUUUAUAUGUUACAAUAUGUGUACGAUAUUUAUAUCUCAAAUAAGUUCAAUAUUAAAUUCCUCUUUUUGUCCGAUCGUGGGUGUCUAGAUCUUUGUAUGUGGCAAAAGCUCCUUUUUUCAUCAUUUUCGCACUGCAUGCAGAAUGUAAAUCUUGUGAAACAAUGGCCGUCUUACUAAAAUGUUUAACAAAAUAUAUUGCAGCAUUUAUCUUCUCCCUAUUGAUCGUCUUCUCAGCACCCGAUGGGUCAACUUGUUAGUCUCGUUGUUUGGCAUGAUUUGCUAUUCCUACCUUCCUUGUACAUCAACGCUCUCCUUCUCUUUCUGUUUGACUUAGCAGACUCACCCUUAAGGAUGUGGAGUAUUGAUCUGUUGUCUGAUCUUUCAUGGAGUGCACUCAAUUCCAGGCCGAUAGACUCCUGUUAGAUUCCACAUGACCAAACCAACUAACAGAAAGGGAUCAGAUGGUGUUCCAAAAAAUAUUCUGACCUUCAAGGUUCGGUAAUAGUAAAUAUAUUCGUAUUGAAUCCAACAGUAUUUGCUGACCUCUGCACCAGAUUUUUUUAAGCCCCGCAAGACAUAUUUACAAAAAAAUUUUUUACAAUGGUGCUACUCUUUUAUUGAGCCACAGUCCAAUAGCUGUAGUAAAGCUUCCAGGCUUUCACUUGCACAUACAUUGUUCCAAACAGGUGACACAACAGUCCCGACAGAAAACAGAUCCCACUCAAUUGCAUUCAGAGUGUGUAGGCCUUCCGAAUUAUUUGAAGAGCACUUGACUGCUUUGAAAUAUUGAUGUAAUAAAGGAUCCAGUGGAGUAAUUAUAACUCCCGCAGGAAACACUUUAUAUGGAUUUCUAAUGCACAUAAUGUAAUAUUUCAGUGUUUGAUGAUUCAUCUAAUUUGUGUUAACUGCUGUACUGCCUUUUGCGUUAUGCUCAGCUAGUUCUUAAUACGUUAAGGGGGCGUAACCCUUUCGAAAUGGUAAGCACCCGUCAUCUGGGCACCACUUGCUUUUUAAUGGCUCUUAUCGUUCACAGAACAGUCCUAUAAAUGUAAUAUUUUUUGUUAAAAUAUGCUUACAAAUCAUAAACCCAUUUUUUGCUGGCCAGCGCCUGAAUCAUCAUGCUCACAAUGACAAUGUUAUUAUACCGGUAAAAUGCGGGUUUGGUGGGGCGGCGGUAGCUCAGUAGUGUGGAGGAGACUUUGACCCUGAGGGUUCAGAUUUUGUUUGAAGAGGUGUCCUUUGGAAAAGCAACAAUUCCAUAUAGCUGAUCUAAGGCCGUUGCUCCCAAUGGAAGUGUGGGUGAAAUGGGUUGAAAUUACCAUUGUGCUGCUUGGAAAUUACUGUACACUUACAUAAACAUAACGUUUUACCAUUUUAGUCAACAUUGUUUAGCUAGCUAAACCAAACACAAACCCACACUGGUAUGCACGUAUUUAAAAGAGAGACCUCAGUAUUGGCUAUUGAUGAAGUGUUUUUCGUGAAGAGAGCAAAGUGUUUCAAAUUUGAAACAAAUUUUUCUACAAUUUUAUUUUUUUACAAAGAAAGUCAAUCUAUUGGCAGUACAAGCGUAAAAGUUGAAGGAUCAUGAUUUAUCAGUUAUCAGGAUCAGUCAUCAGGAUUAAUUGUCUGUGCAAAGUCUGUGCCAAUCCUUUUGGUUGAUGUUGCUAUAUUUCACCAGAAAAGAAGAUUGCAUGUCCAAUGCAGGUAAAGACUGUGUAAUUCACUGCUGACAAAGACUCACCAAAGCAUUUCAUCUUGAAGAUGGGAUUGGCCCUUCAAGCAAACAAAGUACAAAGUGACGGCAGAACAUUUUUAAAAGACGCUUUUGAGGAAGAUCAAUGACUGACAGACUCUCAUUAACUACAGUCCAUUAGGUGGAGCAUUCAUUAAAGUCUGGCUGUAUUUGAUGUCACUUUGAAAGAAAAGAAAUCUAAUAACUUUUGAUUUGGCUGAUAUUCAAAGGGAAUUUGACACCUUUUAAAAGCUAGGACACUGGUGCAAAGACAUAUAGGACUUGAAUAAACCACAUUUUACCCUGAAAACAAAGUCUCUGCUCUGUGAAAUGCCGUUAUUGCGCAUUAAAUGUGAAACUCAUUUUUUGUAAGAAGCCAUUUUAGGGUAUUCAGGUUAUUUUCUAAAGAGAGGUCUCAACAGUAAGUAAGGUGAAAUGCAUGGUUUGGCUGAGAGCUUUAUAACCUUCUUCAAUAUGCUUUGCUUUUCCCCCUCGACUGGCACUCCCAUUUUAAACAUUUAAUGUCACGGAGCUAUUCUUAUAAAUGUUGCCUAUUUUACCCUCCGUGGACGAGUCAUGGAUGCAUCAUCGUUAAUUGUAUGUGUUAUGCUUCCUUUUUUUUUCUCUUCAUAUACAGUAAGUGGGAACACAGCAUUUGUUCAAACAGGCUGUAAUAGGACAGUUCAUAAUGUUUGCUUUGUUGUGUUUCAAACGUUGCCUCUCGCAGCAUAUGACGCUGAUAGCUUAUUGUAUUUUUUGGGGUCAAUGUCUGCUGCAAAAAAGUGGAAUUGAACCUAGUAACGUUAUGAGCAUGAAGUGGCAUUUGAAAGGCCUUUCCAAAACAGCAUAGUAAAUAGGGAAAUUGCAAGCAAAUGUGUGUGUCAGUGUCCUGCUAUGACAUCUGUUUUGCAUAAUUAAGUGUUGGUACCUCACUAACGGCAACGUAAAGAGAAGCGAGUGGGUUAGCACCUGAAUGCAUGAGGCUCCUACCAUCAAGGUCAGUUCGGAAAUUAGUUUAAUCUGUUACUGCCUGGAAAAUGACAGAUACUAGGACAUCAGGUAAUUGCUUCUUUGGAAAAACGGAAGAGUUCUGUGAAGUUAGUCAUCCGCAUGGAUGAAUAUUAUAAUUUGCGCAGAGGAACAAAUUAACUGGGUUGAUAUAUUACAUCUCAGGAAGUGUGAAUGUCUUUCAGAAUGCUGUGUUCUGGCUCAUGUUUAUAUCUGAUGUGAGUCCCUUACAAGUUUGUGGUUCAAUACAAACAGUGAUGCCAAUCCAACGCAUAUAGCUUUAUAUUCGUAUGUUCUGGAGCCAGAAAAGCUACGGCAACAAGAACCACGGCAAGAUUUUCAGGCUUAUUUUGGCCCCAUAAUAUUUUGCUCAUAGUUUUAAAAGAUAAAUACUGUUUCAAGAGAAGUUCCUUACUUAAUUUACUGUUUGUUUGUUUUUGUCAGGGUGAUGGAUUAUGGAGUAAUUUGUGACAAAAAAAUUGAAGGCAGUCCACUGGAAUUAAAGAGAUAAACAAGCAACACAGCCACUGUUAUGUAAGACCAACAAUAUGUUUUGGAUAAAUAAUGAAGUGCUUGUAAUAUUUUUUUAUUGUUACUUCUGCUAAUCCUACCAAUACUUAACAUCCCAUUUUCAGCUGAUCUGAACGAUGAUGAGAACCAUAUCUGUGCCUUAUUUUUCAAUAACACAAUGACCCAAAGUUAAUUUUAAAAAAGAGCUCUAGCUUCUGGGGAAAUUCUUAGUUAUUCUUUGAUAGUAGUUAUUCUCGUGUUGCCAGCACGUCUGUCUCUUUCAAAGCCUGUCUCCGCGUGUUGAUGCCAGGCUGCAGCACUUCCUUUCCCUUCUAAAUCAACGCUGAUGUUUAUUGAAGAUCAUUUUGGCUCCAGUCGAAAAGUCAUUAUAAAAACUUCCAACAUAACUCAGCAAUAUGUUGAGGUCUGGUAAGCAUGGCCCAGAUCAAUAGUGGGAAUCAAUUCAUGUCACUGUCUGCAUUAGCCGACGGUAAAUGUAAAGCAUCCUUUCAAACAGAGGGCAUACACGCCGUCCGGGAGGACAGGAAACCCUUUGUGGUACGGUUCUCUUUGCUAAGUGGGUUUAGAAGUCAAGGAGGAACUAUUUACACCUAGUCUUAAUGUUUGAAAACGACAAGCACAAGUUCUGGGAUGGACACAUGUCCAUAAACUCCCCAGCCUGACCCGACAACUCCUGAAAAUUCGUAGUUUUUUGUUGUUGCUGUCUUUCAUAUUGUAAAACCCAACUCUCAAUCUUUCUGGAACUUUUUCUACGGCUUGGUUCUUGAUAUUGGUCUUGUGUGUGCUUGCCUGUGUGAGUGAGUGUGCAACUCUGCAUCUGUCCACGGCUGAUCUUCCAUUGUGCUGAAGCAAACUGCACGAUAUUUUGGUGCUGGCUUUGUUUGAAUGCUCAAAGACGCGUCAACGUUCUUGACUCCCACCUGACAUAUACUGCCAUUCACCGCCAACUGGCCCCCGCACUAUUGAUUGUAGCAUUUUGGACGGUUUGUAUUGUUAAUCCCUAACAUAAGUACCAGACCACACACUGCUGAGCACCAGUGUAUUUUAUAUUUAAGUAUAUUUUACACAGUAAUACAUUUGCAAGCCUUAUAAAAAAAUAAAAACCUGCUCAGGGAGUAAGUCAUUUGUGCAUACAAAAUAAGCCUUUUGAGGAACAGCAGUAUCCUCUAAUAUAUAUAUAGAUAUUAUUUUUUUUUGUCCUGUUUGACAGAUGAGAGGAGCACUGAUUAAUUGGUCUCUCUGAUGCUACUUUUAAUGAACAGCGAGGUCUGACCAUUGGGGGCAAAUUAGCUUGAUCCUCUUUUUGCGGAACAGAAUUAAUGAAACCCCUAUGGAUUAGGCUGAGUUUGUGUGUGUCGUGUAUCAAUGCUGGAAUAUCUCGCAACUAUAGCGACAACUCCAAUAUUUGCUCAACGGGAGGGAGCAAAGGUUCAGAUCAGUCACUAAUGAAUACGUAAUUUGUAUCAUCACAUCUUUAACAUUGCACCAUAAAGUUCUGAAAAACUAACAUGUAUUAUUACAUGUCGCUGACUGCUAACUGCAGUCAUUGCACACUGAUGUGCAUACUGCUGGUUUCUGUACAGAAAGCAGCUUGUGCAACGAUGAAGGAAUCGUUUCAUGGUCAUGUUUCAUGGUCAUGUUGGUUCAACAGUCCUUAUUUAAUUGUGUUUGUAAACAAAAUUUGGACCCAAUACCAUUUGAACGGGGGUUGUGUUAGUAAAAGGAUGCUUAUUUACACAUCGAGCAGACACUUAAGAUAUCAGAGUAAUCGGAUGUGGUGGAAGAAUCAGUCAGGAGGACACAAUCAGGGGCGACAAUCACAAGGGCAUAAAGUUAAGUUAAAACAAGAGGGAGGGUAAUACAAAGUAAAACAGAACAAACAAAACACAGUGACAAUCAGCAUGAAUUUAGCUUUUAAACGUUUUUGUUGUUUUCGUGCAGUUAAUCGGUAUGACGGAUGAGAAAACCAGAAAGGUAAAUUUACUCAGAGCAGUAUUGUAACCGCGUAGAGAAUUUUAAGCUAUACACAACAAUUUUCUUCAGACAAAUGCCGAUGCCAGAUGCUGUGCUAUACUCUCUAUGGACUUUUAACAUGCUAUUAUUUUAAUUAAUUAUGAUUUGACUUUUUGACUGAUUUACAUGCUGCUUCUGGAAAUAUGAUAUUCGUUGUAUUGGUCUGGAGGUGUUCGGUUCGGUCCAGCAGAAGCAUACAAUGGAACAGGAGCAGGUGUCAUGAAUUCUAAAACCAACAAACCAAGACGAACACUGACAAACACAAGAAAAGUCCAUAAUUAAACACCCAACCUGGAUUUCCCAUAAUUGCACUCCUCUUCCCCAAAUAAGUUGAUAUUAAUUUACAGAUUAGAAGAAAAAAGUAGCAUGUUGUGACUGUACAAUUGGCAAAGCUUUUUCGGUGGAGGCACGAAAGAGAAGCAGCCAUGUUUCCUUUUCAUUCUUUUUCCUGCUUGUGAGGGGUCAGGACUUCGACUCAGGUGCAGAGCAAUAAGGCAACAAAAACUUCUUUCCAGGUUUGGAAUCUUUUACUAGGAAAAUAAACUAAUGCAAGACAAAAGGGUAUUAAUUAAAAGAAAUGAAUGAGAAAGACAUGACACACAAAUAUUGGCUGUGAAUAUACUUGCUUCUUUGUACUCUCUUGGUCAGUGGUGCAUUUCGAUAGCAGUGCAUUUAGAUAGCAAUCAAGUAGCCCAUAAUGUCGGAGAACAUUGUAGAACAUAUAGGAAAAUCCUAGCAUGUGAUUUAGUUGGUAAGGUGUUACAGAAAAAGCAGAUUGAACAUUCAAUGUUCAAAUACAUUUUUCUUUUAAGUAACAGGAACGAUAGCGAGCAGAGGACUUCAUUAACAACAACCGUGCUGAAACAAAACCACAUAUCCUGCAGACAGUGUACAAUGCCAUAAUAACACAAUGGCCACCCGUCUCACGGCCGUAGUUCCAAAACUUUCAACUUCGUGACGUCCAGCGUUUGGCGUCCAUGGGGAAUGCCGGUGAUCACUCUGUUGGGUCGGACUAAUGGACUGAUGAGAUGUUUCAUUUCUAUGGUGCGAGUAAAUCCUGAGGAGAACACUUGUAUAUCAAAAGAAGUCCCCUUUCCAUUCACAUAUCCAAACGAGUUACAGGAUCAUCCUAGCAGGUACCAGAACAUAUUUUGUCCGUAUGUGACUUAACAUAUCUGAGAAGACAUUCUAUGUGCUUUUGUGAGAGACUCCCCUGUAUACAUUUUAUAGCUUGGAAAGGUUGAAAGAGGAGGGUGCUCAGUACUCUGGAGCUACAGUAUAUAAUAGCUGGGUGCAGCAUGUGACAUUGCAGAGGGGUAGAUUUGUACACCGGGCUGUCAUAUGGUGUGUGAAUAUGGCGUCCAUAAACCCUGAGGGUGCGAGAGUGAUAAAAUCCUGCAUUGUUGUAUUGCAAGGGAGAAUUCUCCCAUUAACUUUGGUUUGAUUGGAUAUAAACAUGGCAUUCAGGCGGGAGAGUCCUUCUUUCCAAAAAAAAAAAAAAAAACCUGGCCGAACGGUGCAGCACCUGCUGCCAAGUGACGGAGGUCACAUGGCUGGGAGCGGUGUAGCCACCGCCAUGUAUGGUCAGCCCGCAAAGACCAGUGUGUGGUGCCAGGGUUACGGGUGUGUAGAGGGAGGCAAAUGUACCCAUUACACUCAGACGCCCUUCCUCGCCAGCUGUGUGAGAUCUCUCUCUCUCGCUUUCCUGAAUUUGGAUCUUUCCUUCUUUCCCAAAGGGGUUUUAGUCGCUUUGUCUUUAUUACCCUCAUACACUCACUUACCUAGAGUCUAAACACACUGACUCAAUCACACACAUUCCCACCACUCAGCCUUCAAUCCAUCCCACGCCGUCCAAACAAAUCAACAGACGGAGCCAGAGGCUUGCCGCCCAUCUGGUCAGCCGUUUCAAACAGGGCCCCGCCGUGCAAAAAGGGAGAAGCCUCUAAUCCCCAUCCUGGUUGAAAGCUAGGGGGGUUCUGAUAGUUUCCCCUAAGUCAAAGUCAAGGACACAGAGUCCAACUUAACCACAUGGCAGCCAAGGUCGCUAAACUCUUUAAUCUCUCUCCCUCCUUUUCUCCUUUCUCACUCACUUCCACUCGCUCUGUCUCGCGCGCGCGCACCUGCCGCUUUUUCUCUCAUAGCCAGACGGCACAUUUCCUGCAGAGGUUUGAUUGUAGCAAAUCCAGGGGGAAAGACCCAUUUGCAGACACAGCAGCUGAUGUACUGUACUCCACAGUGAUUAGUGUGCGGCAAGAUCCCUACAAUUGUGGAGCCAGGGGAAGAGCAACCUGUGAAGUGUGUACCCUCAAAUGUUGGUCGCAGAUUGCAAAGUGCACUUUAGAGUACUUUUCCAGUGGUGCAGUAGUAGAUUUGGCUCAAAACAAAAAUACGUACUGCUGCUGCACUUUUUUCCACUGGCCUAGUUUGGAUGCUUGUAGAAGAAUAAAUCAUAAACAAAGCACUCUUUCAAGAUGAUUGGGCUUUUAUUGCAGAUUGCAUUAUUGUGUUAUCCAGAUUCUCUCUCCCUCUGGCCCCUGCUCACUGACAAAAUAUGUGGCGAAAUAAACCUGACAUUGGCUUGCUUACUUAUAAUUCUGUUAAGAAAAAAGAGAAUAUGAAUGUCAGCGCUCUUUGGUAAUGCAAUGUCAGCAAUUUUACCAAUCUGCUUUAUUUUGCAUAUGAGAUUCACGUUUUCUACUCUGGAGUUCCUUGGUUGACUAUUUUUAAUCUGUAUUUAUUCAUAGAAAGUUGGCUCACUCAUUUCCACACAGCCACCACACCUGGGAGCUGAACACCAUCGCCAUUGUUUUCUCAGUAUCUGACCAAUAAGCCCCCCGACUGCAGCAGCGGGAGGUUAAACGCUUUGCCGAAGGGCACUUCGAUCUCCGUUGUUAUAGGGAGCACAGAUAGCUGUUCCGUUCACCUAAUCCAAUUUUCGAGCUGGUCCGGGGGUUUGAAGUGUUGACCUUACACUCAUAUGCGCCCUACCACUCUAACCCCGCGGGCUGUAAACACCACACACAGAACUAACUCAAGACCUUCAUAGCAGAGCAAUCACGGAGCACUGUUUGAGUGGGAUAGAAAUUUGAAUGUCAUGCUCUGACAAAGUGUCAAAAAUCCUAAAACAUACAGCAGUGUCAUUAAAUUAAGAAUUGUUAGAGGGUCAAACAGGGACAGAAACACUUUCUGCACCAUCCGGAUAAAGGCUGAGUAACCUGGUGGAAUAAAGAACCACCAUAAUAAGGUUACUUUACUAUGAUUAUCAGUCGUUGCAUGCGGUCUAGAAUUAUUAAAUUGACGUGGUAACUCACAAAACCUUUAUUUCCAAGCAACAAACUCAAUAAGUACUGUUCUGAUUGUGGCAUUUCUUUAUUACGUACCUUUAGAAACAUUUUGUGUCAUGGGUCCAUUCUUAUUUAAAAUGCUACAAUCCCACUGAACAUCUAAUAAAAUCACACGGUGAAGACUGGAUGGAAACGACAGAGAAUGAUGUUUGUGGAAUGUGGACAAGCGGCUGGUCGUAAAGCGGUUGAGAGUAAUUUCCUUGUGCAAACAGCCUGCAGAGAGUAAUUUAAUUGAAAACAAUUUGAUGAAACAGGCAUAUUUAUGCAAUUUGAAUAUUUAUUUAAAUAAGUAACCAUGAAGGUGACCAGGGGCUGUCUGACAUUUGAACAGAAUAUUUGACCAAAAGGCUUACGCUUGCUUUUAAACGCCUACUACAUAUCCUCCGGCUCCAAAGCCUUAGACUUUUCAGGUGGCUUUUGGUUCCACAUAACUAGACCUACAGGUUCACUAUGGACUGCACUCUCGCUUACUGUGGUGUGAAAUUGCAUACGCAACCUUGAAAUGAUUCCCACAAUACCAGAUGGUCUUAUCAAUUGAGAAAAAUAUGUUUUACUUGCCUGUGUGCUGAAGGAAGGUGACAGUAAACGAAGGUUUGAUUAGAAAACGACACCUGGGGGGGUCUAACAGGUAACGGGAGAGUUUUACUGGAAAGAUAAUAUUUUCAUCCGAUUAUGAUGAAGCACGCUUAUGAGACCUUCAUUAAUUACUGAACCAUGAUCCUUUUCACUCAUGGCCUUCAGAAGUGGGAACAUGAGCACACGACAAAACAAACAAUUUACAUGGAAAUGGCAUUUGAAAUGAGAAACCACCUUUCCAGCCGGUAUACUAUAAAUAAAUGUGCCCCGCAAUUAAAAACAAAACUAUAGGUAAUCAAGAUAUUUCAUGUCCAAAUAUGCACAACCUCAAAGGCUGGGAUACGUUUUCCCAAAGUAAAUUACAAUAAAAUAAUUACGUUACCAGCUUUUUACAGACAUUCCAAAAAGUGCACUUUAAAUAAUAUGAUCCUGAAAUAAGUAAGGAUACAUCGUGCAAGUACAUCGGAAAAAAAAGAGAUGCUGAAUCAGGAAAAACAUUCUGAAGGGACGGGUAAUUUGGUGAGUGGGGCAAUGAUUUAUGAGGCAAAUUCAGAUGGAAGCGUUUCCUCAUCAGAGAGGAGAACAUUGAACCAACCUCCCCGUAUAGUUCAGUGAACAAAAUGCCCAAUGAUUGAUGAUUACUUCACAGACUCCCGAUCUAAAUUGCUCAUGUCAGAGUACACAUGGCGGACAUCACUAUACUCUUUCAUAUUCAAACAACAUGAUCAAAUAAUUAAUCCAUUUCCAGGCGCUCAAUAUAUCCACAUCACUUAUAUAUGUUGAUUUAGUGUCAUUCACUAUUUAAUCAGCAAAUAUAUACAGUAGUGAAGAUAGACACUAAAUGGAUGAGGCCAAACGUUUGCCUCUUGGUCCUCCUUCCUUCUUUUUGUUUCUGUGCUGUGACAUCCUUUCCUUUUCCUGUUUUGUCCAUUCACUCUGUUUCAAUGAUGCAGCAGAGAAACACAGCUGACAUGUGUAAGGCCUUGAAGUGAAGUCGUCAUUUGUUCAGCAAAUCAGGUUGAAAGCAGCCUCAACUGAAACAUUUGUUUUCUCAUCUUUUGAAGUAGCAGAAUCCACCAUUAUAAUAGGGUUGAGAUGCUAAACAAAGUACUCUUAAUAAUUAAGAAUAAAAGUCCCAGGGUAAAAAAUGUCAUAAAAGUCAUACCUGUAAUUUAAUUUGUUUUUGCUGUCACACAGACUCAUCUGCUGUGGCCCCUAAAUGCUGCAUUUAAAAUAGUAACGUUAUUGAUGAAGUUAAACUGCCUAAAUCAUUAUUACAUAUGUUUGGUUGUGUCCCAUGGUUUAAUGCAUGCCACUUAUUGCAAGUUGAUUCAGAUGAAAUUGACAGCUAAAUACAAAACUAUAUAUAUAAUUAUAAUUGCAACAUAUUACAUUCCUUACAACUAUUAAGAGUAAAGUGGCACAUCACACUGGGAUGUGAAUGCAAAUGUGUAUUUUUGCCUAUCCUGCUUGCUAAUGCUCCUUCCAGUGAGCUUGGCUUCAUGUUUGUGUAUGUUAUGACAGGUCAGAUCUAAUUAUCAAUAGUCGAGGAAAAAAGGUAACGCUUGGGAAAGAGCCUGCAGAAAGCCCUAUUUAUAGCAUCCAUGGUCCGGAAGCAGGGAGCCCCUAGAGAGGAAAAAAACCUACAUCAGCCUGAGGGGAAGUAAUUAGGACAGAUAUUUAAACUGAAUAAUGCAAGCUCUCUGAAAUAUUGAAAACACCUAAAGUUUAUUAAUUAAGCUCUAAUCUGGUGGUUUCAUGUCUCCUUUUAUUCUGUGCCAUCUUAAUUAUUCAGGGACAUGAAGUCAUACAGGACAGAUAACACUCUACAUGUCAUCAGUACACUCGUUAAGAGUUGAUUAAACGCGCGCUCCACCUCGGUACUUCUGCGUCAGCAGUCUGCUAUUACAGCCAAUGUGGUUCUGUAAUACCCACAGCAGUGAAUCAGUCACACUACAGUAGUCCAACAAGGUCACUUUGAAGUUGCAGCAGUGCAAAGUCAGUGGCGAUGUGUUAGGAGAGUCCUAAAAAGAAAGUCAAUUACAUAUAGGUAGCCUGGCACGUGUGCUUGAGGAUACAAAAAGAUACAGACAAAUGGGUGCGUACAACUCAAUGAAUGCACCACAAACUGUUCUCCUCAAACAGUAUUUGGAAAACAAGUAUUUACUUUUGCUGCCUGACAUUGUCGAGUCCAAGGUUACAGUUGAAAGUUGCCCUCUGCCUCUAAUCCCUUCUCUAUUCAUACUUCCCUCUUAUCUAUCUUCACUUUUGCUUGCUCUCUCUCCCACUUUCCCAUUUUGGUCUCUCAUCUCUCAACCAUCUCUCUUUUCUUCUUUUGUUCAUGCUGCUUGGGUUUCACAGAUGGAGUGACUUGAGGCGAUGAUGGUUAUGCAAAACACAGUUCAAAUGAAUGCAGGGCUGGCAUAAAAGGCAUACACACAGGAAUGCAUCUCGACUCUUUUAUGGCAUGAAAACCUUGUGGUGGAUCCAGUUUGGAUUCUACUGGCUUGCUACACAUUAAACUGCCAAUGAUGGAAUAAUCCAUCCUUCAAAGUACAUCAGAUAUCAGAUGAAUAACAUUGUAUUCCAUUGAUUACUACUAUUAUUAAAUCAUUUAUUUCACAACAUGAAAUGAACAUGGUCCUCUGUUGAGACUUCAUAUCGUAUAAUAAUAAAUAAGUCCCUGAAUUUCCCUCCGUUAUUGGAGUUAUAUUCAUAGAGUAUGCUUGGAAGAAACUAUUAUAAAUAAUAUUCAACAGCAGGACAGAAACAGAUAUCGCCAUCUGAAUUGUGUUUCAUCCACAUGAUUACAAUAUUUCACUAAAGUAGAAAAGUGCUCAUCUUGAUCUUUUUGCAAAAUCAUUCCGAAUUAUUAUUACUAAAAUAACCACUUUUGCGAAACCCCAAAACUGAGUUUCCAUAUUGAUUUGAAGCACGAGCCACAACAUUUUUAUAAAUAUUCAGCCAACCAAAAAUAUCUGAAUUGUUUUGCAAACAAGUUGUGAAAAUAAAACUGACAUGAGUCAAUUCCUAGAAAAUGUCUUAGCAUCUAGUGAGCAAGUAGAGGUAGCAUUUAGCUUUUUUAAAUAGGUUCAGGACUGAAACUACAAGAUCAGUAACUGAGAGACAAAAGAUUAAGGUUGAGCAUCAAGCCGCUAAACAAUGAGCGGAAAGUAGAAAUGCCACUAAAAGUGAUAAUAUGUUACCAAUAUUCAAUGUGGUGUUUUUGGUACCACAGUUACAGUGGCUACCAGGGUUCAGGAUCCUAUGCGACAGUGCCACGUCAUCCCGGGACAAUAGAAAAUGUCUCCAUCUGAUCACACAGAUUCAGGAGGCAGUUCUCAGAGAAGUGUACCUGGCCUGUAAAUAAGUAGUUUGUCUCCUACAAAAGUUACAAAAUUGUUGAACCCAACUGUUGAAGAGUGUUUGAGGAGGGGGCCAUACUCGCAGACAAUCCUACAUGCACUUCAUUCAGGGGAUGUUGAGACCCUCAAAUCUCAAAGAAGCUUCCUCCUCCUUCUAGCACAGUUUUCCCACUGAUUCCAAACUUAACUUGAAACCCAACUUUAAAGUCAACAGCUUUGUGCGGUGUGCUAAGAACACCACAUCGACUCAUGCAUUAAAUGCCAUCAUACCACGGGAAAAAUGAUUGUCAGCACUUUCCUUACAUGAGAAACAUUUUCAACAGCAGCUUUAGCUGAAAGGGCUCUGAUUUGAAUACUGCUUAGUCAGUAAUUGCUAUCUCUUCAUUGUCUAGAUUUUAUAUUGCGUGAUGGGCUCAGUCUUGAAGACUGUACAUCGCUUAACAUUAUCCAUGAGGUGCAGGGUCAAUCAAUACAGCGGGACCUGUCCUUUAGGAAAAUGCAAAUAUGUUGAGAAUCAAUACUCCUGUGUCAUCACCUCUCAUUUCAAUCAGGGGGGCUGAGAUAUGACACCAUGGCAGCCCCCCCCGGGAAUAACACUGGAGUGAAUCUCAAUGGACUCUCAACUUCAAUGCUUCUCCUCACUUUACUCAACCUGUCGUAUAAUCUAUAGUUUCCUAGACUGCCCUCCGCUCUUCUCUUUGUGUAAGCUUUAGUCUGUCUCCCUUCUGAGCCAAAAAACUUAACUUAUUUCAACUGCAAGAAGAAAUUUGCAUGGCUUUGUGUCACGGGAAGCGAUGAGCAUUGGGAAUGUCUGUUGUCACUGAAGUCAGUGAUGCUGUUGAGAUAGAAAUGGAGCAUUUGUUUACUGGAGUGAUCAACCAGUUAUGUUAUUUUAGAGAAAAUAAAAAAGAAUAUUGAGGUAUGAAUUGUGUGUUGGAGCUUAGAGUAAAAAAUAUCAAUAUAUUAUUUAGAAGCCGUGUUGCACAGCCGUACUUCUUGGGUUUAAAUCGGUGUCUCUCCCUUAGAUGAGCAUUUACCUUCUUCUCCCUGUUUGAGGAUGAAUAUGUUCUUUCAAAAAAGUACUCUUCCCAGCUUUAGCCAACUCUAAACAAAAUCUGUCGGCUCAGCUUAAUCUUUAAGAAGAUCAGUUAAAUUGCCGUGGAUUUCUUCACACUGGAGGUUUUCCUAUUUCACAAUUUUCAAACACUUGACACAAAAGUAGUAAACAUUGAAUGAGAAUUCUAGAUUGCUUGUCGUUUCACGUAAAAAAUAAAUAAACCUGAAAGCUGAAUGUAAAAAACUGAUAUCAAAUAUAGCCAGCACUCUAUGUGCUCCUCAGCGCAGAUAUGAAAAGGAAAUUUAGUAAGAAAUGUUGUUGAGCGUUUUCAGACGCACCUCCGGGUUUCCUCUCAAACAGUAGUUUCGCAUCACUGGUUGGAGGACAAUUGGCCGGUAAAACCCAGUAGCCCAUACCUCUCCACUGAAUAGAAAUAGACUCAUUGUUGGACUGUGAGCACCCGACUGCCACCUUGAGCUUCACUCAGCGAUUAAACAUGUUUUGCUUUUGGCUGACCAGCCGUUGUCAAGGGUCAACAGUUGUUUUAUUCUCAGUCAUGGUUUCCAGCUCGACUCAUAUGACGCUUCGCUGGACACAUCUGGUAGCAACAGCAGUGCCAGGUUUGACAUGAGCAUCUGCGAGUUUGUCCUUGUCUAUGAGACUCAUGUGUUGCCUUGCAAAGUGUCGUUUUUUUCAGGUUUUUUGGGGGGUAAAACAACAACAAAAAAUUCAGAAAAAAACAGAAGGCACUUGUCAGUAUCGGUACCUUCUCCACAUCUCAGCACACAUAAUUCGCAGUCCAAAAAACGUAAUUGUAACAAUUAAACUCCAGAAAAAUAGUAUCGGACACUGAUUUCAAUCAAAUGCAAAUUGAAGGUAAGGCCCCAGAAGCAGUAAACGACUGCUAGAAGACACUCGUUGUUAACACAGACCGUAAUUAACUAAAAUCAAAUCAAAUUGUAUUUUGUAGAUGCCAUGUUGGCCUUUUAAACUGUCGCAGAAUAUCUCUUUACAAUAGAAACAUAAACAUAUAUCCUCCCAUCCCAUUAUCAUCCUAGAUUUUUAUGGCAAGAUAUGCCAUAAAUAGACAUAUUUUUUAUCACCUCUGUCCACCAUUUCACAAGGUGCGAGCUGUUUGCAACAUGAACUGACAUAAACACAAGCAUAUAUGUCAAAGGGUUUUUUAUUGGCCUGCACAUUCUCUCCUUGGGUUGGUAUCAAAGCGAAAGGGGCCAGAAUACAAUAGAAAGACUGUUGCUAAGACAGUUCUGGUUAUGUUUAAGAAAACCUGGCGGAAAUUCAAUGUUGUUGCCAAUCACUGUUGCUCUGCGUCAUCUUUUAAAUGGCUGUGAGGAACAUGACUGACAGAACUAAUGGUUGAUCAAUCAUGAAGGGGAAUCUUAUCAAAUGACUGCCAACGCAAAGCGGAGGGUGGAAUGCAAGCGCGUUCUCUCCAAUAAAGCCAUGCUCUUCUGAUGUUGACUUGAGAAUGUUUCAUGUUGUUCCUGAUUGAACUGAACCAGGCCGCGAUACUGAACUGGCUCUAAAAAGAAAGAGCAAACAUCACAUGAUGCCAUUUCAUUUUCUCCAGUAUUGAACUGCAAACACCAUUAGUUCUGCAAACUGACCACAAAACAAGCAUACAACAUCCGUAACCCCGGGCCCGUAAUAUGUUGUUUCCGCUCAGAUAAGACUAUCAUGAGCCUCCGGGAGCCGUGUAAAGGUGAUUGUUAUUUGGUAUUUCACAUACGAGACAGCAGCCCCUCUCGGGGUCAUAAUAUUGAUUUCUUUCCUCUUUUUUUGGUUCUGACAUUAGAUGGCAAUGGCAAUUUCUUUUUUCUCUUACCUUUUGUUGAUACGUCCUCUCACUUUUGAAGAAUCUCGGUCGGUGGUGAUAUUUUCCAAAUCGAUCUGUUUGAUCAGAAGCAGUCUGAUGCAAGCGGGCAAUUUGUCACUGGCUCUAUGGGCCGGGUUGUAUUGUCACAAGUCGGAAAUGGCAAUUCAUCUCGAGGCUUUGCCGAAUUAACCACGGCCGAGGUCUAUUGUUGAUGACAAGCUUGAUUCUAGCGUGAGACAUGAUUUAUUCCACUUUAAAUUGAAUGACUUAACCUUUCUGUCACUUAAUAUAAUUGUACUGUUCCUCAUAAUUCAAAUUUGUGUUCUCCGUGUUUGGCUGUGCAAGAAAGUGGUCCGAAAGUCAUUCAAUCUCUGGCCACUUAGUGUUCUACUAAACGGGAAAAUCAUUCAUCCUGAUGGUGCUAUACUUCAACUACGUGGGUCAUUUCUUUAAUUAGAACCAGAAAAUGGACGUAUAUUUGGCUAAAGGAGCGAGCAGUUGACAUUUUUUAGGUAAUAUUUUCUCAUUGAAUAAUUAGGCUUAAGCAUCUGUUAGGGAACAACAUUAGGAAAGCUACCAGGAAAAAUAACCUCAGAUUUAUUCAACGGUGGAUUUUAGGAUAUGAGCUUGAGCAAUUAAACCUCAGAAAUGUGCAAUUUAGACUCACUCCUCUGUCAUUUUCACCUCAGAAUUACUAGCUGGGUGCUUAUUUCUGCAUACACGUUGAUGCACACACAGGAACAAUUACCGGUGAGUUAAAUACUUUCUUGCCAUGAGUGACAAAGCCAAGACAAAACCUGACAGUGUGUCUCGUGUACUCUGAAUUGGGGCUUAACUCUGCUUUCCUCUCUCCUUAAGUCUUAACGCAAACACGCAUGAUCCAAUAACAGCGUAAUAGGAUGGAGGCUGAUGAUGAAACUUUUACUGUCAUCACACUCGUUAAAUAAAAGGACCUAAAAAGUAGAAGAGAGCGAGGCCGACGAGAGGAAGGCCGCAGAGGAAGAGACACGGAGAGAGGGAGGAGGCAUGACGGGAAAAAAAAGGACUUAUUCUCUUGAGAAAGAUUUAUGACUUAAAGCCGAUGUGGCUGUGAACUCUUUAGUGCUUUGCCUCCGUAAAAAUCCACCCACAGUGGUGCUCAGUAACUCAACUGCAAUCCUGCAAUCAAGAUUGUGUCUCCCUGUAACUGUGCAUAAACGGCUCCCUACACAUGUUUGGUCCAGACAACAUACCUCCGGCUUCGAAGUUUAGAAUUGUACUGAAAGUAUUGAUUUACACAUCUGCUUGGUUUCCAUGUAUUACCUACUAGAUAUGUAUCUCUCUAAUUUUUCUAGCUAUUAAAGCAAUAACUUCUAAGACUAAUACGGCCUGUUGAAAAAAUCCACAACUUCUACAGCCAGUGAAAGUAUACCAUUAAAAGUUACACUUCUGUUAAAUACUGCUUGAUUUCAUGACGUCCUCAGCAACGCUUUCAUCUUUGUUUUGUUGGGAAAUACAGUAAAUCAAUAUAAUUUUGCAGCCACAAUCACAGCUCCAUUUCAAAUGGCACUUCUGUUUCCACAUGAAGUGUAUUAUCAGUUUCAAUAAUAUUUGCGACAAGUUAAUUCAAGUUCAUGUCUUGACGACCAAUAAUUCACUAUUAUCACGUUUAAUUGAUCAUUUUGUGGCCAAGGUUUUAUUCUGUUCUGUUGCAAAUGAUUAUGUCAAUGUUUGUUUCCAUCACAGACUGCAUAAAGGGAGAGGACGUAGUCACCAUAAUGUCCCCUAUUUGUUUGCAGACAAAGUUUGUCAUAGUGGCUGUCAUCAUCUCGGCUUUAUGCAACCACAAACUACAUUUAAGCGAGGAGUUAAGAAUAAUCUAAGGCUAUAUAAGACAUUUUAAGUUGAGCAAAUGUUACAAACCAAACCAAAAGAAGACCAGUAAAAUGCCUGGAUUUACUUGUUGAAUUAUAUAAUUAUUUAACUUUUGUAUGUGCUAUGUAAAGAAGGACGUUCGGUGGCUCUCUGUGCCUUUUGCUUUUGCACAUAAACUUUAUGAUGAGCAUGUAUCAGUAUAUGUUUUUGUCUGUUGACAGGGAGAGUACACUCACACCAUGUUUGUUUUGGGGUCCGAGCUGAUUUCCAGAGUUUGUUUUUUUCAACCGAGUGAGAUUCUCUUGGGACUCACUCUACAUUCCCUGCUGCUGUUGGUGUACUGUGUGCGCCCUCUAGCUAUGUGGCUUUGUGAGGUUGAACCAUGGUGGUUCACCGUGCAGGAGGACUCUCUAGAAUAAGUAAGAGUUUACAUUAAUGUUUUAAAAAGGAUUGGUUCACCGGCACCACUAAAGAGAGAAAUAGAAGUUUAGCUCAAGUUGGGAGACGUCAGUUGAAAAAAUCGCGUACAAUGUAGGCCUUUUAGUUAAACAUUCAGUUACUACAUGGUAGAAAAUUAGCAGCGACGUGCCAGGAAAAUUACAAACGACUCUUCCCCUGUGGGCUUUUUAAGGGAAUAAAAUAAAUUGUCCAAUAUUCUUGUGAAAUUCCAUUUUCCUCAUUAUUGUGUGAUUGGGGCUCCAGCAGUGAAUUUCUUCAACACUUUUUUAAAAAGAAUUUAUACUAAAAACUAUACUGAACAGGAUAAAAAGCCACAAGGUGCAUUGGUCGGGCACUCGCAUGCGCACAUAAGCUGAGGGAACUUGCCAGACUGUGUUUGGCGCUGCCAUGCAUUUCUGUGACCAUCAGAAGCUGCUUGCUGCUUGGCUGGGUUACAAUUGAUUUGAUUUAACAAACUUCACAUCACAUUCAAUUACUGCUUGGCUCUGGAACAAGCAUGAAUAAUUCCCUGUACUGUUGAUGAAAAGUCGACGUGCAAGCAAGAUUUGAAAACUAUUGUUAUCUUAUUUUUAUUUUUACAAGGCACAUGUCUAGAUGAGGCAAGUCGGUUUUUCGGAUAGAGUGCCCAAAAACCGUUUUGAUGAGUUUGGGUUUUGGAGUGUCAGUAGUUGGCGCUAUAACUAUCCGUUGAUACAAGCUUGCGAAGUCCUCAGGCCAUGACUCUAAUCGAGCUGGUGAGGAUUGGGAAAGUUGUAAGUAUGGUCGUCUUACUGCAGUUUGAUCUAUUAAUUCAAUUUAAUUCAUUUUAUUUUGUAGUUGCAAAUCACAAAUUUGCCUCAGAGUGCUUUACAGUCUGCACACAUGCAAAGUCCCCAGUCACCAAAACCAUCACAUCGGCACAGGACAAACCUUCAAUGGGGAGAAAAAAGACAACCUCAGGGAGAGCGGCAGGAAGGAUCCCUCCCCUGGGAUGGACUGCAAUGCAUGCCAUGUGUACAGAAUGAAAAACAUAAAAUGAACAAUAGCUUAUAGUCAUACGACAAAAAAUGUUGCGAGUAGUAAGCCAGGUGUACGGCAGGACCACUGCAGCGACAACCACCAUCAGAUACAACAACCAGAAACAGAAACCUGUGAGGAGGGAAGGCACAAAGACCUCAGGAAACAAGCAAUGUUGGUAAUGUUGGUUUAUGCUGACAGUAAUAGUAAUAUGAUCAAUAUGAAUAAUGAUAGCAGAAGAUGUUGUCAGCUGAAACUGAAUUAGUGAUGUGCAUUAAUGAGAUGAGAAUUCAUAUAAAUGGAGAGAGAGAGGGGAGAGAGAUGAGCUGGAAGUGUAGGUCACAACCGUUUAUCUAAGGGCUGGUUCAGUCUAACCUCACACAAGAGGAGCUUGAUAACUGAAUUACAAUGCAAAAUGGCCGCCACACAUCGUCCGUGCCCUUUAAUGACACUGCAUCUUUUGGUCCUGAGGAUGCAGGACAGAUGCAUGAUAUAACCUCUACAAUGACAACGGCAGUACAUUUAUUGUUUUAGGCUGGUUGCAAAUGUGUCGUGCGCGGUUUAGGAGCGUGUCUGGUUACUGGCUAUUGUGAAAAUAAUGAAUAAUUAUCUUAUUAGUAAGAUAAUUCAUGAAUUGUGAUCGACGACUUGAAUUUUGCUAGGCACAAGUCCAUUUGUUUGGGUCAAUCUAGCAAUACAGUUGUUAUUAUGCAAUCUCGUAGCGUGUUAGUUAAUACCAUCCGCGGUUCCCUCCACGGCAGAAAUUGUUCUGAAGAAAAUGGGCAGAGGGUGAGGAGAGGGGUAUGUCUGGAAGAGAGUACUGGUCUUGAUCAUCUCAGACCACAUGUAAAUUUUUACAGAGAAAUCCCCCAUAAGUGUGAAUCAACAUUGCUGUGGGGUUUUUGUUAGCAGCACUGAAGGUCGCAAAUCUGCCUUUGUUACAAACCCCAUGGUAAAGGUGCGCAAUGAACCCAACGGAAGCAAAGGAAACAGAAGCACACUAUAAAACUGACUUUGUUGUGUGUCCCUUGAUAUUUUUCAACAUUAACUCCAAAACUACCCUGUGCCAACCAGAGCCUGUUCAUCAUCAGAUCCAAAGAGCUACCUAAAGCACCGAGUGGAGACAAAGCGUUUCUCCCAGCUGUCCUGCCAAGCAUAACUUAUAUCUUCCCCUCUGGUAUACUACGCAGGCAUCCACCUCCCAUCAUGUUCCUUUGGCAUUCAAAGCAGAAUUACCACAGGAAGUGGUGCCAAGCUCAGCUUCUCAUUGGAUGGGCUUUUGGAAGUGCCAGAAACUAACAUCUCCAUAAGUCUCAACAAGGGAAUGUAUGAAUAAACGGAAUGAAAGAACAAAUUGUCGCUUGGGAUUUGUUGUUUUUUUCCCACUGAAUCACUCAUGUCUAUAUUAGAUAGGAGACAUUUUGGUUUGUUUUACUUGACACUUCUGUUACCUGUCAACGGUUUCAGUCUUUUCAGUUGUAAUUUAGAGUGAGCCUUUUGAGGAUUAGCUAAUAUUAUUUAUUGGCUGAAUUUCCAGAAGUUUAUUUACUCUCACGUAAAAUAUGAGUAAAUAUGUAAAUAAAUCACACAAACUAUUCAGAAGGAUUUUUUCCAUAACGCUGAUCAUGCUUAUUAAAUUCAAUACUGAGGUUCCAGGGCGUGGUAAUUUAGAAGUUACUUGGAGGAAGAGUUAUCAAUGUUUUUGCAUAAGAGCAUCAAAAAUAUUGCUCCCAGGGGCAAACAGUAAAUAGAAUACCAUUAAUAUGUAUCUAAUCCAUUUGAAUAAGUGAAUGAAAAUGCAUAAAAAAUGAUGCCGGUGAAAAACAAUGCACUUUCAAACAUUAAAAGAGGUUAAAAAAAGCGAAUAUGUAUAAUACUAUAAAAAUAAUACUUCCCGCGAUUCCUGUAUUGCCUCAGUGUUUCUUCUCAGCUCAGCGGGCAGGCAGCUGGGGAGAAAAUAACUAUUUAUGUAAAUGAUUUUUUGACAGGAAGGUGAUCAUGUUAUGCCAUGAACAGGUUUCUUUACAUAUUAAUUACAUCUACCAGCUGGUGUGAGAGAGGACGGCUCCAGAUACGCAGCCCAUGCGGACUCAUUACUUUUUACACACAGAUCUAAGCUGUUGCAGCACCACAUACUCGUUAAAAUAGAAUAUGAAAUUUCAGUGCUGCACUUUUUUUCCUUACAGCUCCUACUGCCCUUACUUCUCUUACUCCUACUGUCAAUAACUCUGAUGUAAUAGCAGAUAAAUACAACAACCUGCAGACAAAAAAUGAAGCUCAGGAAGCGUAAAUUCAGUCACGACGCCGAGAGAAUCCUUUGCCUCUCCCAGCGGCCUCCUCUCUCUCUAUUGGGUGCGCCAUCAGCUGACUGGGGGCGGUGCUCCUUCAGUACUAGCCAACCAGUCAUGGACACCGUUUCAGUAAACUAAUGGCAUUGGUGAUGUCUGACGUUAAAAGCUGUUCUCCACUCUGUUGCGGUCAGUUGUUAUUUGAGCACGGCCCCUGAAUCAGCAAAAAAAACCCGGCAUAUCACGGGAGUGGAGCAAACUUAUUCGCCACCACCACUAAUGUCUGGACUCCCAAAAGGGGGAUUGGCCUCAUCCCAUCUCGGCAUCUUGGCCCUUGGUCUAUCCGACAGCUCGACAGAGUCCAAAAAUAUGAGUUAUGGACAUAAGCUAGAAGAAUCCAAUAUUAACGCGCAGAUGGCGGGGCCUGGGGCUUCACAAACAGACGUACCAUUCAUUGAAUCUCUUCUGUCUUUACAAUACAACAAUUUUUGGAACUAUCUUGUAAGUCAUCGUACACCGAAGAUGCAGUUUACACUAUUGACAUGUGAUCUCGUGAUCAUAUGCUGUGGAAUUCCAUAACAAUUCCAUAACAAGAAAGUCAUUUUAGCAAACAUGACUGGAGAACAUGGUGUGAAAAGAAUUCUGGCCGUGCAGAACACAUUUGAAUGUAUUUUUUCUCAAAAGAUCGCACCAAUUUAACUGACAUAUCUUAAAUGUUUACACAUGUAGACCUUCUGUGAUAUUAAGGGCAAAGACCAACAACCGUUACCCAGCCUUUUUAUUAUUUUCUUUUUUUCGGUGUUAGAGAACAUUUUGCAUCUGGAGUAUUAACCUGUGCAGAAACAAGUAGCACAUGCAAUUUCACAAAGAAAGUGUGAGGACUUCGAUCUGAGGACCCUCGUGGUGAGUACAUCAACACAGAAACAGCCUGGUGAUAAAUGCAUGACAAUCCCCAUGAAGGAUGUGCAGUAAAUGGCUGACGAGUAAGUAAAAUGGCUGAGUAAGUGCACUCUCGCCCAAAUACAAGUUUUAUAUUCCAAGUGAAAGUGUUGUUUUUCAGAUGCAUGUUGUGUACGUGGAAUGGGACAUGUGUUGUGUACAGCUGGUGUUACUCUAGGGUCUUUUUUUACUUAUGCACAGCACGCUCUUUGCCCAAUAUAAACGAGGCAGCUGCAGAUUCACCUCCGUCUAAAGACACGAGUGAGCCAACAUCCACCAGAUAUUGUGGCUGUCUCACCCAUAUUCCUUGCCCCGACGUGUCAGCAGUAUCAGCGAGUGUCAGUUGUUUUUUUUGAAAUUCCAGAUAAGGUCGGGCGAUAGGUGGGAGUGUGAGCAUUCGUGAAUACAUAUUGGAAAUGAUCAUUACAAUUAUUAUAUCACAUUGACCUUUAACGGAGCAUGUGUGGUGGAAUUUAAAGAUUAGCCACUGUGAAUUUUAAUAUUUGCAGGAAAAAAUUAUUUUAUUCAUUGCUGGUUGUAAGGCCUGUCACGUGUCCUCUCACCGCACUCCACAUCCAGCACUCUGCGUGAUAUUUUCCCACGUCACAAGACAGAUUUCCUAAUAUAAGCUAAUAUAAACAUUGGGAAGACAUUUCUGGCAGUAUUAGCCUUUGAUUGAAUGCCAUUUAAACCUCUGAGUGUGAGUGGUGGAUCUCAGGGGUAGGACUUGGCAAUCUGGUAAAAGAAAAAAUGUCCUUUGAGGACGGGUGUUUCAUUUAUACUUCUUUUGCAAGGCACAGAGCAGCAACCCUCCACAAACACACCAGACUACACGUACGUAAAAAUGCACAUUAACACACUAAACCAGGGUUGUCUAAUUGCUUAGUGUGGCCAAAUACAUUGCGUUCUCUUUGCCAGCUAAGUUGAAUUGGCUCAUCCUUACAUGGUUUUGGUGACGCUCCAGACAUCGUUCCAGCUUACGAACCAUGUUACACGGAAUGUUGGCGUAUUCCGACGUAAGAGGAAUACAGAUAUGCGUGUGUCUGUUUUCAGUUUGCUUGCAUUUUAUUUUGGUUUACAGAACAGUUUUUUAACCAAGUCGGAUGUUUCUAACAUGCUUCACUUGGCACCAGACAAAUAUCAGACCCUAAAGAUCAUCAAUACAUCUAAAAUAUGUAAAGCAGUUUAAAAGGAAUAAAACGGCAAAGUAUGUAUUUACAUGUACAGUAAGCUUUUAGAGUUCAUUAAAGGCACAAAGGAAUUUAGUUCCCUGUUAAUCUAAUAUAACAAUCUCAUUUAUCCAAACAGGUGUAUUUCUUGAUUGUACAUUCCUACCAAUUUACGGUUGGGUCUAUCAAGGCAAUGUAGUCCGGGAGAAACGUUAUCACCACUUGCUGUAUAUGCUUUAGGUUUUCUGUCUAUGCUGCUAAUCUCCUGCAAAGCUGCUUUGGAUCUUGUGUUGCCGCUUAUUCUGAGCUGCUUUUGUUUGUUUUUCACAUCAUUUCCAAAAUGGCUGGCUCGCUUCAAGUCCCCAUAUAUUUCAUCCUGGGCUUUGCAUUGUGAGUUCCUCAAUGACAGACACAUAGAUAUGGGCUUAGCACUUUUAUACCGCUCGUCCAUAAACAGCAAAAAUAGAUGAUUCCAUUUUACAUGGUGAUAUUUUUCUAGCACGGAAUUAACUUAUCAAUUUGCAGGCAGUGUCUGCCUGUUGCACACCAAUGAGUAACGAGCAGGUUGACAUUUUUAAGUAGAAUGUGAAUAGAUUAACAGAAAUUUGAUGUAACAUUUGGAUUAAAGAGACUGAUCAUGUCUUCAAUCUGUGAGCUAAAACUCAUGUCUCAGAAGAGUGUGACAAUGAACACGACCUACAGCGUGCAGAGACUCAUUGCCUGUGGCCUUUUACAUCCACAGCAAACUAAACUUUGUACCAAACGGCUCCCUCACUGAUGUUUUGUAAGAAAUCAUUUUCUGGAAGGUUGAGCUGCAUAUAAACUCUGCAAUUAUGCAUACAGUACAGCGUUGAAGUAAACUAAUUGAAUCCUCUCUCAAUUUCACUGUUGCAUGAGCUAAGCUGUCACAACGUGAGCCCUAAACAUUAUGUUUGUCUUUCCCUUGUUUCAAACUGCCUCAUCAUGAGCUCUAUUCAACAGUGAGGGUUUUUCUAGAAUGAGCGGGAAACUUUACCCUUUACAACUUUAACUGGAUGCGUUCCCCUUUUGGAUCAAUAAUGCACACCAAAAAGGGAAAUUCAGCCUCAACCGGAAAAUGAGUUUACAAUCUGAUGUCCGUUGGGUUUAAAGAUGCAUCCCAGUGGCAAAAAAUCUUGUAGAAAGUGAAAAUGAACAUGACUCUUCACUUAUCAACUCUUUUCAUGUGUUGAGGGGCUUCAUGAUGAAUAUACAGAGCAAUAACCACAGGAAAUCAAAUAGCCACUUAAUGUAGCAGUAUAUUAUGUUUACACUGCAAAUAGAUCAAACUUCACAGGUUCUUGUGGAACUAACUUCUUGUGUAAUUUGUAUAAUUCCACUAUUACAUAAAUGCUGGACGUAGAUGGAAGACAACUAAAAGUGGAUUACUCAUCUCAGAUGAAGAGAUGCAUGAGUGGUUGUGAUAAUCAAACAAGGCACAUCAAAAGAGUCGCACACACAGAUUGUAGUGCCCAAUGUGCUCAGUCAAAUACAAAUGAUCUGCGGUUUCAAAUUGCAGUCAUCCAAAGCAGCUCUUAUGAAAAUGGGGCUGUAGGGGUUAUGCUAAGUAUCAGUCUCCACCUUUAGUUUUCAUUAUGAACACAUGAAAAUGUCACAUUUGUAUCUCACAAAGCAACUUUCUGACACAGGAAUACAAAUAUGCCCAUAAGACAAACACACCAGACACCAGCAAUACAAACAAAGACGAGAGAACACGUCAAAUUAAAGCGAAUGCGUAAAAUAACAAUGAAAGCAAAACAAGCACUGGCAUUUCAAGGGUUAAGUCCCACAGGAUAUUAUUUAUUGCAGUGCCGUGACCGGCCAUGGCCCAAACAGAACGGCCCCUUUUAGAGAGGGACAUGUUUGGGCAUUUGUGUCAAUUGUCAGGGAUCUGAGCUGGGCUGGGCUGUGAGGCGGUUUACAUCGAUAACAAUGAGCCAUCAUAUAACACUUUUUCGUUCUUCCAAGUAACACAAUUAAGGUUGAGAGUCCUGCACUACCUGUAUGUAGAAGAUGACAGUCAACAGAUUAUAUAAAACUCAAGAUCGGAUGAUUUGUUCUGUGUUAUACAUUUAGUUUUUUUUUAUUGCUAAGAAUGGCUUGCUUGGUACUCAGUAGGUACAAACCUAACCAGUUACCAGUGAAAUAUGUAAUCAUUGAUAGUAAACACAUGGAAAGGCUAUCAGUGAAAUGGUCAUUAUUAAAAGCGGACUUUAAGAGUUUAGAUUUGGGAGUUUGAUUAAAUAAGCAUGACCUGAAUCAAUAUACUAAAUAAUUACCCAAUGCCGGCUUUGUCCAUUUAAAAACAUAGGAGAUAACCAACAGAAGCACAACAGGGAAGCAAACAAGAGUGAAAGCUGAAGAGUGUGACUGUUAUAACAAGCCCUUACAGUUGGUAUUGAACGAGAUACACUGCUGGCCUUGGGCAUUUUCAACUCCGGUACAGACUCACUCGGUGCAUUACAGUGAAGCCUGUCAUGGGUUCUUUGUGGGCCCUGUGUUGCAUGUGACGUGAGGUAGCCUCCGUGCGGUAGUCAUGAAGAGAGCUAGAUUCACUAGAUUCGCUCCCUGUUCUGAAGGCCUGACAGCCCCAUUAGGACCGAAUGAGGAGGAAUUUGCCUUACCUUGGCAUUAGAUCCCUCACAGCCCCCCGACAGCUAUGGCAGCUCGUCAUAGCAGCUUGCUUAUGAGAACUGUGGACCCUCUCCUUCACCACCUCAGCCACUGCACUUGAAAUGCCAUACUUUCCUUUACACUAUAAGAAACAAUAUAAUAGAAAUAGAAAAUACGUGUUUCUCUGGUUGCAAAAAGGAAGAGCGAGCUGGAUCUACGAAGCGAAGCAUGGAGUGGGUUGAGUGACAGGAAGAAGUUGAAAAGCACACAAGGCAAUUUAGAAAUGUAUAUCAAUCUCCCCCUUGUGGAAACCCAAACUACACUCCUGGCAUCUAAUUUCUUUCUGCCUGACACGCCAUGUAAAAUUGAUCUGUAGAAAUGUGUCACCUCGAGCUGACAGGAGAGGAAAGACGGAACGACAGGUAACUCCAGGCACAACAAGACCUAUUUACGAGGUUUAUUUUCCAGUGCGCUUGAUUCAAAAAGUCUGUCCCUCAGACCAAUAUGGAAUAUUGUACCUUUAGAAAAGCAACGCUAUUACCGAUGCCAAACCCAUAGGAGUUAAAGCCCGGAAGCAAUUUUUUGUUAAUGUCACAAACAUAACACCCCAUGUUGCUUUUUAGGAAUACAAGUUACUUUUAGGGCAGCGUCCCGUUAACGGCUGCUCCCGCAAGAAACGACUUGUUUGUAGCUGAUGACGUCAAUGAGCUGCUGAAUCUGCUGAAAAAUACACCUCCCACAAUCACAGCAUUGAGCAUGAGAAGCAACAGCUCUGGCAGUUGAUGAAUCACCAGGAAGUAGAACACAAAAAAGCGCUCCCAGAGUGUGAAUUGGUGAUGGCCAUCUGGAAGCGAUGAGCAAGUGGCCCCUUCGCCUCCUCAGCCUGUCAACUGGGACCAAUGGAGGCAGGAAUCAGUCAGAUGAAACUGAUGCGGACAUCAGGUGGAGGAUCCACUUACAGCUCGUCUCGCCUGAGCUCGCUUUGACUGCUGGUGCACUCCGAUACGCUGCCUUGCCUCUGCAAGACAGUUCUAUUUCUCCAACCUACUAAAGCUGUUCAGCGGUGACUAAACACUCCCAAAUGACCUUAUCAAUUGUUUUAUUAUUUCAGCCGAAGCGUGGGUUGGGCUACCCAAGGUGGGAGGAACAUAUUCCAAGUACAGAGAUCUAGUGAGAAUCCUGCCCCUCCAACUGGGCUUUGGUGCUCAGUGAUUAUGCAAAACCUUUUAACACAUCUGGGCUAAAAUGAAAGUGAACAAGGGAUGCUUUGAUCACGCUGCCGAGGUUACCUUGACAUCAGGGUAAUUCUCUACUUUCAUAUUCUACCUUUGUUCUUUAUAAUUCAAGGCUUGUAAGCAAAAGCUAUACUGAAAAACAAUGAUCAGACCGGGGUUACCGGGGCUACAGCAACUUACAGAAAGGGGGACAUAUGGAUCUAUUUAUUCCUGUUUCUGACAUUUAACAUUUAAAAUGAUAUCCUAUCUUAUGUUUGCUAACAAAACAGGUGAUGGAAAUUCCCCCCGAGAAAUAUCAAUGAUGCAAAAACUCAACUCUCUUUACGAAUUUCAUUUAACAGAUACAAGGAAAUAGUUCAGCUGAAUGGAUGGAGUUCUUUACACAGAGUUGGAGAUGGUUCGGAGGUCUAACCAUCUCUGAGUAUCUAUUAACAGUAUGUUCUACCCCCUCAACAGCACAAUAUAAGCAACUUAUAAAAGUAUUAAAGCUCAAAUGUGUAUGUCCAUAGGUUCUCUUGUUGACAAAAAAGGACUGACCACUGGAUUCGUUAUCUCCUUCAGGAUCCAAAACAAAACAAAAAAAGCAAACGGGAACAAAAUGAAACAAAACAGUCUUUGUUCGUCCAGCGAAGACAAAACUGAAGACCAAACUUCGUUGCUGUUUGCGCUGUUUCAGUAAGUGAAACUCGGGGCUCUGGCGCCACCUCUAACGUGAUGCAGUCCUCGUCCAGUGGGAGCUUUGUCCGUUUGCACACCUCUCCUUUGUUCUUGAGGGGGAGUCAGGUGCUCAGAGGGGGCACGCGACCAGCGGUGUACGGCUCUAACAUACGUGUCCUCCUGCAUCUUCUUGUUGUACCCUUUAUUCUGCAGGCUGCAUGAUCGUGAGGGCCCAACGCCUACAAACUUUUGACUCACACGGAAACCCUCUUUUCUGCUGGGUAAAAAUCUUUGUGACACAUAAUAUAUGAAGAUGAAUGAAUAAGACAUCCAUGACUGUUCCUUUCAUUCGCAGUAAUUAAUGGUUUCUCCAUAUAAAGGGAAAGGUUAUCCCAUGGCUGCUAGAAAAGUCUGCAUCAAACAUUUAUGAAGAGGAGGAUUCAUCCGAUGGGAUAAUUUAAUCAGUGUAUUAUUAUUGAUGACAUUUGUAUUGUCAAACUUAGCGAACACAGAUUUAUACUUUUUUUUAUAUAUAUAUAUAAUAUUGUCACGGGAGGAGUCAGCAUGCUACAACACGGAGAGUGUAAUUAGUUCGCCGACAGGGUUUAUUGACAUUUGUCCACAAUACCAAACAAUGCGGUGUCCAACACAUAUGCAAGAGGACAAUAGUGCUCCGCUUGUGGUCGGUCAUCAGGUGGCCUGUGGGGUCAACGACGACCUCGGGCUUCCACGUAGUGUGGGCUGAGCGUCAGGCGCUGGUCUCUGGAGACAAAACAAGAGGGGUUAGAAAACGUCUCUCACUCGUCUCCCCGGUUUGGUGUUGCCGCUUAAAUGGGGUUGGGUUAAGUGGCACCAGCUGCCAGCGCUCAACCCGUGAUUGUGGUGUGGCCAGUUUCCAUGGCGCCUGAUUGCGAGCCUCAGGUGACUCACCACACUCCGGUAUCGGAGGCGUCGGUCUGGACGACGUACGGGCAAGUAAAGUCCGGGGCAUGCAGGACCGGCGAGGAGGUGAGGGCUUGCUUCAGGUUCUGGAACGCCUUUUCCGCCUCGGAACUCCAAGCCAUUGUCUCGGGUCGUCCUUUUCUGGUCAGGUCUGUUAGGGGACUGGCUACAGAGGAGAAGUUAGGGAUGAAGCAACGGUAAUAUCCUGCUAACCCCAGAAAGGCCGUACCUGCGUCUUGGUUUGAGGGCGGGGUGCCUUGCGGAACGCCACUACCUUCUUUGGUUUGGGCUUUAAUUGACCCCUACCUACCCGGUAUCCGAGGUACUUGACUUCUGCCAGGCCGAGGUGGCACUUCUGGGGGUUUACAAUGAGCCCAGCCCGGUGGAGCUCCAUCAACACCUUUCGAAGACAGGCCAGAUGGUCCCCCCAGGUGGUGGUCGUCCAGGUAGGCGGCAGCGUACGCCUGGUGUGGUCGCAACAGGACGUCCAUCAUCCUCUGGAAGGUGGCGGGCGCCCGGUAGUGCCAGUGGCUACUGGGAGUGCUGAAGGCCGUUGUUUCCAGAGACUCCAGCGAGAGGGGGGACCUGCCAGUACCCCUUGGUGAGGUCCAGAGUUGAGAUGAAGCGAGCCCUCCCCAACCGGUCAAGGAGUUCAUCCACUCGGGGCAUGGGUAGCUGUCUAACACAGAGACUUCGUUAAGGCAUCGGAAGUCGUUACAAAACCGGAGUGUGCUGUCCGAUUUUGGUACCAUCACCACCGGGCUGGACCAAGGGCUUUGGGAGGGCUCGAUGACUGAGCUCCUUUAUACUUCCUCCUCUAUGGCCGUCCGGCGAGCCUCUGGCACCCGGUAAGGCCGCUGUCACACAACGACUCUGGAUGGGGUGCGGAUUUCAUGUUGUAUGACGGUAGUCUGCCCGGGCUGUGUACAGAACACAUCUCUGAACUGACUCACCAGGGUUUCGAGCUCCGUCUUCUGUACAGGGGACAGCUGCUCUCCCAUGUCGACCACAGGGGGUUCUUUAUCGGCCCAGGCAGCGAGCUGGUCUUGCGGUCCCGGGAUCCACCUCUUCAGCAGGUUUACAUGGUAGAUUUGGUGGUCCUUCCGGUAUCCCGGCUGCCGAAGCCGGUAGUUGACUGGCCCAACUUGUUCCACCACGGUGUAGGGGCCUUGCAAGGAGGCGAGGAACUUGCAGGCCGAGGAGGGCACCAAGACUAGCACUCUGUCCCCCGGGAGGAAAGUCCGAGCUGAACGGGCCGGUCGUACAUGAGGCGUCGAGCGCGUUGUGCCUCUUCCAGAUGCUCUUUCACUAGAGGCAUGACCCGAUCCAUCCGGGCUCGCAUCUCCACAUGCUCGAUCACCGUGCGUUGCGGGCUUGGGGUCUGCCGUUCCCAGGCGUCCCUGGCGACGUCCAGGAGUCCACGUGGUUGCCUGCCGAAGAGGAGUUCAAAAGGGGUGAAUCCUGUGGAUGCUUGGGGGACCUCACGGACGCCGAACAGCACAUAGGGGAUGAGGAGAUCCCAGUCGCGCCCGUCCUCUGCCACGACUCGCUUCAACAUCCUUUUCAGGGUUUGGUUAAAGCGCUCGACCAGGCCGUCCGUCUGGGGAUAGUAAACUGAAUGGGGUGCACUGGUCGGUCAGGAUUUCGGCCGGGAUGCCGACCCGGCUGAACAACAUGAAGAUCUCCCGGGCGAUGUUCUUAGGGGUGGCUUUUUGAAGUCGGACGCCUUCCGGGUACCGGGUGGCAUAAUCCACUACGACGAGUAUGUACUCAUGGCCUCGGGCCAUCGUAGCGGCCCUACCAGCUCCAUCCUGAUGCGUUCGAAGGGCACCUCGAUGAUGGGCAGUGGAACGAGCGGGCUGGGGGUGGACCGGUACGUUGGCAGGUAGGGUAUACAGCACCGAACCUUUUCACAUCUCCCUCGAGGCCAGGCUAAUGGAAGCGAUCCCGGAUCUUUUGGACCGUGUUCUGGACCCCGAGGUGGCCGGUCAUUGGGUGGGCGUGCGCCAGUUCCAGGACGACGGCAGUUUUCCCUCUCAGUACCACUAAGAGGCAUCUUUCCUCCCCCUGUCGUUCGGCGAUGCAGUUUAGCGGACCCUCUUUCACGACAAAGUAGGGGAGGGGGUGAGGUCCGGGUUGUCGGGUCAUCCUCCCUCUGCUCACGGCCAAAGGAUCCGCCUGUAGAGAUCUGUUGGACAAGAUCAACAAACCCGUUAGCUGUUGCCAGGUUAGACUCACCCGCUCUGUCGCUGUCCGAGGCCAGGAAUACCGCUCUCCGAUCCCUUCGCUUCCGUGGGCUUCGUCGGCGUCCCGAGGUUGAGCUGGGGGUUUGCGGGGUCCCGGUGAGCUGCUGCUCCAUUCCCGGUCAAUUCUGGCGCAGUAGGAGGGGUACCAGCAGAUCUGCGACACCUCCAGGGCCAGGUACCAUGGGGUGUCUCAAGGAUAGCCUUCCUGGCCGGCAAGCUCCGGGUGUCGCCGUGUACGCAGGUGAUCGGGAUGGAGGCCUUGCGGUAGGGUUCUGGGGGUAACACCUUGGGUCACCGCGCUGCCGGAGUCCACUACCGCCUGGACCCUUUUCCCUCCGAGGCUUACCGUCGUCAUCGGGGCUCCCGGUGGGGUUUCGCAGUGAAGGAUGCAGCCAGCCCACCAGGCCCGAGCGGCCGGCUCGGUGGGCAUGGGCUCAUCUGCUGGCGAAGGGAUCGGGGGUCGGCCCCCAGGUCGCGAGGCACCCUCCGGCAACCGCCACGGGGUAUUCCCCCUCUGUGACAGUGGGGGCUCUCUCUCUCGAUCGUCUUUCACCCAGGUGGCUUCUGCGAGCUCCACCGCCUCCCCCAGGGUGGUGGGUCCUUUCAUGCCAUCUGGGCCCCGGAGCCGUCGGGGAAGGGCGUGUAAGAGAUGGUCCAUAAUCACCCGAUCUGCUACCUGCUGCACAGGCGAGAAGCCAGAGGUGGGCAAGACGGGCAGCUUGGCUGUCUGUCCCCGGAUCGGGAGGUUCUCCUCGUACCUCCACAGGUGAAACAACUGAGCUGCUCAAACCGGUGAUAACCCCACCCGGCCCAGGACUUCCGCCUUUACGGUGUCGUAAUCCUCACUCGCAGGGGUUGGAGGGAAUAAUAGGCUCGCUGGGCUUCUCCCGUCAGGUAGGGGGCUAGAAUCUGGGCCCACGCCGACUUCUCCCAAAGUUCACGGGUCGCUAUUACUUCAAAGGUGUGUAGGCAAGCCUCCACAUCAUCCUGGUCCGUGAGCUUUGUGAGAAGCUGGUGGGCGUGUGCUCGGGGGGUGGGUACUGGUGCUGCUCCACCCACCGCGGCUCGAAGGGUGGCCAGUUCUUGCUCGGUUUGGUGUUGUCGUUGGGCCCACUGCUCGGUGAGCUGCUGUUGGUGGACCGAAACCUCCGCGAGCCGAUGUGUGUUCGUACACCACUUUAAUGUUCCGGUGGCAUCCGUAUUCCUGUUUAAUGUUCCAGUGGCGUCCUUAUUCCUAUCCUGCCCAUUGUUCACCAUUUAACAUAUAAACUGAUUUUUACCCAUCAGAACAGCGGGUUCCCGAUAUCAGAGACAGACAAAAAAGAGUAGUUAUUAGACUUUUUUUGUCAUUGGUUUGCCAUUUUCGGAGAAGGGGCAAAAAAACAGACCCUUAGGUUCAAUGAUUGGGGGACGGGCCUGAUCUAAAAACGAGUGGGGCUUUCUAAAUUCUUCUCUACGUCUGUGCUAGUCAUUGAUCGGCGGUAACAAAAAGUCUUUGAGUGUCGGUUGAAGUUUAUAUUUCAUCCGAACACCCUCAGCCAAAUAGCUGUAAUUGAAUUGAUGAUGAUAUCGUCGGGUCUGCGGCCAUUUGUCUUGGAAACUAUGAUGAAGACAGGAGCAGAGCAACGGAUAAGGAACUCUUUGUCUGCUGGAUCAGAUUGUGUUGGAGACUGCCGUACACACCUGGUAAACCCAAAUGUGUGGGGAGGGUGAACUACUGGCUAAGGACACUAUCCACAAAAGCUUUAGGCCCCACCUCGGGCAAAAAGGAUUGUGCCCGGAUGCAGGCUGAGGGCCAUAAUUAAAGCCUUACUAAACCCCCGAUCUACAGCCACAAGCUGGACAUCCUGGACGCUCAUCGAGCACAACCGUGCACCUCAAAGCAACACUAUGUCUUCAAAUGGCAAUAUAAUAGAAUAUGUAAAUUGUGGCUUAAUCACUGGGAACACAGUCAGUGACCAUUGACUAGUUUGUCCAAUUCCAUCUGCUCUCAAAUCAUUCAGGCUGCACAAACUGAACAAGUAGUAUUUUAAGUGACACAAAUAUUAUGACCUCAGAUACCUUUCCAACACGUUAUAGCAAUAAAACUGACUGACAUUGUCUAUUGGCAUGAUAUUAUUUUGUGGAUGAAUUCCUGUUUUUCAGUAGGGCAUGUACCCUCCUAAUUUAAAACCCUUUUUUUCCUGUUGUGUUCACGCUUUACCUCGGCAUCAGGAUUGACAUGUAAUUGGAGCUCGUAUGGAUUUUUAUCCUGUGCUUGCUAAUGAUGAGGAUAAAAAACAUUGGUAUGAAAUGAUUAGGUGUAAAAGCUAUUCAUCAUCUUCGUUGACCUCUAUACACAAUCAAUAAUUUAAAUGUGUGUGUUGAUAAAAGCAAACAGACUUAAUGCGAGGGCUCAACAAAAUCUGACUAGGGUCACAUUAAAAAUGCAAGGAAUGGGAGAUAUCUCGAGUGGCCUGACUGGACGUUGUCCAAAUACAGUUCUCUACCCCUCCAGCAAUUAUAGGGAUUGGUGGAAGGGUGAAGACUGAGAGAAAAUUAACUUGGGAUCAAUCUCUGCACUUAUCAGGAUAUAAGUGAGUCGGAUGAGGUUCAAGGAGACUUUAGGAAUCAGUUUGGCACCUGACGCAGUGCAGCUUUGGCUAAGAGAGAAUGAUCUUAUUGGACUUAUAAUCAUGUUGUGCCUCACCUUAUUUGCACCUGGAAUGUAUAUUUUUGAACUUAUGAGUACUGUAUCAUCAAACUUUCAUUUUCAAGUCCUCACCAAUUUCUCUUUUCUAUAAAUUACCUCAGAGGUAUCUUUUAUCAUCUCCCUCUUUUGUAUUUUGUAGCUGAGACAUCUAUUCAGGUACUACGAUACGAUCUGUAUUCAGAGUCAAGAGUGAUAAAUAUCUUUUAAUUAUUUUGGCACUCUAAGCAGCUCAUAUUCCCAGACCUGGUGUAUUGGCAUUAUGAGAGACAGACGUCUUGCUUUGAUCAGAUCAUCUAAUAUAUAAUUCUAAAAGAUGAAAGCAUUGAUUAGUAUCAAUGCCAUGAUUUUCAGUUCACUGCUAUCAAAUUUCGUUGGCGGUUUUAAUCAUAAUUGGUAUUAUAAACUCGGGGGCAUCCAAAGAAUCUUUACACACCUCUCCACCUAAAUCAAUGUGCUAUAUUGUGAUGUAAAUUACCGUUUGGGCUUUAGGUUCUUAGAUGAGUGAUUGAGGUUUCAGGCAGUCUGAACCAUGUGUAAGGCAUUUCUAAUGGUAGUUCAUUAUUUCACAGAUCAAUGAGCAUUAUCUAUAGCAGUAAAACAAAACAUUUAAAUUGGUAAUGGGGCCAAACUCUACAUUCCACUCCCACUUUUCAGCAAGGACAUGGCUUUUUAGUCCCCACUGUGCUUCCACCUUUGAAAUACAGGAUUUCUCAGUGUGUUGUGUCUUAAAACACCUGCCUUAUAUUCAGUCUGCAUUUAAAUUUUCCUCGGCCUCAUUUCUGGGACACUUGCUGGGCUCUCCGAGGCCGGAUCACCAAGUAGACAAAGCAGGCAACUGCUGCUGGCCCAGAUGCCCAAGGCCACCACUGGAGGUUCAGUGGGUGUCAAUUGGUUUGUGUUAAAGCUUUUUGGGAAUAUACACCAGAUCAGAAUACAUAGCGCAGUCCUCAGAGGGAAAGAGGAAUGUGGGGGGGAAAGAAAUUGUAGACAUUUUGUGAAAGACGCUUUUGUGUGGAGAGUUAGAUCAGAAGAUUUACAGCUCUUCGGUGGUUGCUUGGCAACUUCAAGGUUACCUGGACUCUAGUCACCGCAAUAUUCCUCUAUUCCCAUACCAUAUGCUUUGUUGAGCAAAUCCUCACUUUCCUUUGAUUUUGUUCCGAACAGAAAGUUGUGUGACUGACUUUUAUCUCACAGAUGCAGUGGAUUUCAGCAACUUCACUAUAAAAAGACAAACCCAUAUGAUCAGAUGAUCAAAGAGACAACGGCAUUAAACAGAAUACGAUGAGAAGAAUUCAAUUACCAUAAUAUUUAGUGUGUUGAUCAAUAGUCUAACUUUCUGACCACAUCUGUUUUUUCCUUGCAAAGUUAUUGGGUUCUCACAUUCACCAUUGAAUUUUCAGUGCAAUGUAAGUAUUAGCAAUAUAAAUGGUGUUGAAAACUAUUAAAAUAAAACUGGUUUACUAACCCUUAACAGGGACAUUGUAAUCUGGCCAUACAACUCACAAGCAGUGAGAAGAAAGUCAAAUUGUGGGGAGUUAUCAAAGUUAGAUUUUCACUUAUAAUGUUCCUAAUGUGGUAAAACCGUGUUCAUUUUUAAGAAAUCUGAGUGUUCUAGUGUAGAACUACCAAGUAAGGCAACGAGGUGAUUCAUUGAUUAUGUCACAAACGUGCUCUGCAUUAUGUUAAGAGCCAUGUGGGAUGGAUACAAUCAUUCCAUCGGUAUACUCAACAUAGCUGCAAUGGUAGCAAUACCUGAUAAUGUAAGCCAGUAUAAUUAUACCCUUGUCUCAUUCAGAGGUGCCUUCCUUCCUCUCUUUGCUUCAGGCCAUUUCCAAUCCAACACCAGCAUCCAGAAUAAGAAAAAAGAGAGGGCUCUGCAGUGUGAAUGGUGACUGCUUCCUUUGGUACUUUCCCAAACGUCAUGAAAGGUUAAACUAUUAUGAUCUGCAAAAUUCAGAUAAAUAGAUUCCUUCUGGGCAGGGAGAAAAAGAAAACACUUUUUCUUGGAGAUGUUCACUGGACCUGAAGGAUCAAACAAGCUUAAUAUGGGUUUAAUUCAAUUAAGAUAUGGCCUCAAAGUAUUCAGAGCUAAAAACAGCUAUUUGUUUGUACUACAAAAUGUUUCCUAAUAAACAAUACAGCUCAUUGAACUUAAACGACAUAACUAAGAUGAAGUGAAAAAAUUGAUUUGAGUCUGUGCUGGUAAUUCAGAUUUAUAGACAUACUUGGACAAAUAGUUGACCUUGAAGGAGCAUCCAUUACCAGUGGCAUGUGGCAUUGAUGUCCUGAGAAUGUGAGACAGUUUUAUGGUCUCUUCAUGAACAAGCUGUCUGAGCAUCUUGAAAGAUGCAUCACUCAGGGUGUCAAACAAAAAGUACUCUUCAUGUAUUUACUUAGAGCAUUCCUCCAAUAAGCCUAACCAUACCAGUAAUAACCGGCUGUUCACACACAACACACGCACUAUCCAAUAUCACCCAAGGCUCUAACCAUUUGAUGGUGAAUACUGCAUUGAAAACUCUAAGCCUUUCUGUUUUCGGCCUUCUCCAGAAACACUCCUUGUUAGCCAGAACUCCCAAAGAUGUCAGUGCAGGACGAGCAGACGCAUCAAAGAGCCAGGUUUUGUGGUGGAUGUCUAGCAGAUCCCGACGGCCUCGAAAUUCCUGCGUUCACUCCUACGCUUCCUUAAGAAAUAGCAACAGUAAUUGCAGCUCGGCUAUUGUUUCUCGUAGAGGUAGAAAUAAUUGGAUUUACACACAGUUGCUGGAAAUCUGAGACUUGAGAGAGUUGCAAGUUCAUCUUGGAAAUGCCAAGUGCAGAAUUCUGCUUUUGUUUAAGGGGGAGUUGCCUUUCAAUAACAAACAUAAUGUGUGGAAACACCCUCUUGUCUGCUUUCUCAGUGGAGAAAGUCUGUUUUAGAAAAAUAAAAUAAAAAACAUCUGCUGGUUUGUUUAUUGCUCACAAACAAAUUAGUGAAACAAGAAAACAUGAGGUGAAAGCAUCUCAUCAAUAUGAAAAAGAAAAUGCGGUCUCCAACAUAUGGUAACUCUUCAACUUAAGCAAAUGAUACCAGUCAAAAUUCAUCAACACAACCUCGGAGGACAGUUCAAAUGGGAAUUAACUCUUCGAGCAAAGAUACAAAAUUAAAUUUCCGAUCUCGUGAUCAUAUGCAUGAAUAAGAUUGGUUUGUGAUGAGCAUGGAAAUUUGGUCCCAAGAGCGUUUUAAAAACACACUUUAAAAAACAAUCAAUCGACUUAAACUGAAAAUCUUCUGUGAAAAAAAAAAAAAGAACACAGACACUCACACCUCCUCUACUCAAACAGUUGUUCAAAAUAUAUGGGUUUGUAUCUUAUGAAGAUUCUAAAAUAAGUAAUAAGAAGCGUACCCAGUUGGUACUGCCUAUAAACUCCUGAUUCUGAUCUGAAAGUAAGAAUUACAGUGUGUUGAUGGCACAACAGGUUGUUGUUGCAUUAACAAAAAAGUGUGAGUUGAAAAUGAUCAGGUGUGACAUGCUCGGCCAAACUGCACAACAAGACUUUGUGAUGCCUCUGCAGCCGGAAAGGCAUGGAGAUAAACUCAUUCUUAAUGAUUUCAGGAGUCGUGGCCUGCCAUGUACUUUUGAAAACGUAUUGCCCUGCUGAGUUGCCUGCAAUUUAAUCUGGAGCCCCAGUCAAGCGGGACAGAUGAAUCUUGUCAUCUUCAGAGAUGCAAGAGAGUUGACUGAUCUGACUGAAGUUAAUGUAUUAGAUAGUCUGUAAAUAGAGAAAAAACUCUACUCUAAAAAGGAAGUAAAUUAAGUUUGGAGGAUAUGUCGCUAGAGCGUUUUCUGCUCAAGUGACUUCAUGAAAAUCAGAUAUUCAAGAAAGCAUGAGCCGUCUGGGAAGUUUAUGAUGUAGGUACGUUUUUUUGUAUUUUACGAGUUGCCUUGUCUCAUCAAUUGAUGUGAUUUUGGAUGGUUUUGUCCUCAAACGCAUUUACUGGAAUGAAUUUGAUAUAUUCACAAUAUAUACUUUAACAGAAUAAUCAACAUAUUUAAAUACAGACAUCAUCAACAGGUGAAUUCACAAAAUAUCUGCAUUAAACCUACCUAACGAGCUAACUAGUGCUAACCCCACACAUGCAGAUAUACUUUACACUGCUCGACAAAACUCUGAAUUUACUUAUUUAAAACAAGACAUGCACAUUCUCUCGUCAGCUUGGGCUAAUCAGGAAAUCAUUCCAAACAUUUCACCACGGUAAAAUUGGCAAGAUUGGUGCUGGGGUGUUUCCUCAGUAAACGCAUGAGAGAAUGAGGAAAACAAAAAUAAGAGUGCAGGGACCUGCAAAUUUGUGAUGAUAGUUGGAAUGUUUUCUCUUAAUCGUUUACCAUUAUAUUACGAAAAUGUAACAUGCACAGAAUAGCACAGUACAGCGUUGCCAUUUAUUUUAGAAAGGGAUGAAUUUUCCAAUUCAUUGAAUCGUACUGCACAUUUACCAGAAGAGGCAAAGGAGUUUGAUGGAUUCUUCCAUUCAACCUGUUGGCCACACCUCCACAUUACACCCACUCCUCAUAGAAUUGUCCUCCCCACUCCUUCAGCCUACAGUAUUUCACACUUUAGCAUGGCUUUCAUAGUUACUGUAAAGAACACUCACACUUUCAAUCACUCUUUGUAUCGGUGGCAAACAAUUUCCAUCUCCCCCGCUUUGUUCUCCCUAAUAGGCAAUAGAGCUGCCCCGAAGCCUCGAGCUUCUCCGUCUUCAUUCCGCUGUGAAGACUCCAUCCAUUAGCCUUGCACCUCACUGCUCCCAGCACCUGACCCAGAAACCAGGCAAAAAGGCUCUGCGGCAUCCACCGCCAUUCGCUCAUUCAGUGCACAGGGUCGUGGUGUGCUGGCAUCAGUUAUUGGCUUUUAGGCAAUGUGCCUGCUCCGCUUUGUGUUAUUGAUGAGAUUUAAAUUAUACUCAGGGACCAUGUUUUAUGCUUUAUUGCGUCAGAAGUCAGUUGGCUGUGAGCAACGCCAAAGCACUUUACAAGGACCACCCACCACAUUAUUCAACAAAAGGUUUAAGUUAGCUAAGCGUUGAUUUCCCAUCCACUUUUCAGCCAGUGGGUCAGGUUCCAGGACUUCAAUAAUACAUACUCACUGAAUACUGUCGCCUAUAGAGUCCAACAGAUCUAGAAAGCUUGCAUUAUCCAAUCUUUGAAGAAGGUGCAGGUUACAUUCCGCUAAUGAAGAUAAAGCUCCCUUUUUCAGUAAGUGUGCUACUUGUCAUCCGAAUAUAUGGCAAUAUGUAAUAUUGAUGAAUAAAAAAAAACCUCUGAUUGAUAUGUUGCUCUGGUGAAGAUGAUUGUAAUAUUAUCUAAGAGGAUAUCUCAUGAAAUGGUCUUAUUAUUCAUGCACAACUGAAAUGGCUCUAUUCAUCUGGUGUCCGUGCUGCAGCUGCGAGGUUGCAGACUCAGUACUCAGAGGGGAGGAAAAUAUGAGCCACUUUAACUACUGGUAACCACCAACAAAAAGGGGACCCAAAAAAAACACAAUUUUGUGUUUUAACAAGGUUUUCUUUGCUUGUUCAAAAACGAAAUACAAAUACAGUUUUGAGACUCACCGUGUAAUUAUAUUGAAUUGAGACACAGAUUAUUGUUUUGGUAAAGGAGAAUGCUGAUCGGAUCGCUCAAAGUUGAGGUAAUCUGUUUUAUCUCUUCGUUGAAGGGUUUGAAUUCAAGGAGCUCCAAAGAACUGAGGAAGAUGAUAACAUGUAUGAUGGUCACUAAAAGAAAAUGCAGAUCAAAUUCUGCUCAUUAAUAUCAGUCUACGCUCUGCAUUCCUUUACCAGGUGCUCAAACUUUAGGAUGGAAUGGCGCACAAGGUAGAGGAGGUACUGCAGCCAAAGGGGAUUGACUUGUUUCCGAAAACUCAAUACAGUAAAGUAUUUAAGUUCUAUGCUCAAGAUGGAGACUUCACAUUGUCCACCACCCGGCAGGUUUGACACUUUAUUCUCCAGAGGUUAACAACACUGAAGGAGAGCCGUAUUGGAUAUCAGCUUAACAGGAUUGCAAUCUGGAUUGGUAUUUAAAAGAUAAUGGUGAGGCAAAAGCCAAUUAGCUUUGUGCUCUGUGGCUGUCCGGUGCUCACAGAUGUUGUCAAUGCAAUUACAGGGUCAAUUCUGCUGCAAGGUACAAGCCUGAUAUCAGGCAACUUAGUUUUGCUGCAAAGCUAAUUAUUGAGGUUAUUUUUGGCGACGGGUGGAAGAUGUGUAAAGUUUAAGAAAGUUUUUGUUUUUGUUUAUUAUAUAUUUUUUUAGGAAAGAUCAGCAUCUGGGGGGGGGAUUUCAAUUUGUAUUAACUCUUCUGCCUCUUUUUGAGACAACAGUGUCAGUUAAAACUCUCUAUUACUAACGAGCAGCAGCGAGUGAAAUGCAGAUUCCCAAAAGUUGAAACCUGAUACAAACGGCCGGAAAACUGAGCUAUGAUUAUACUUUGACACCAGCCCCGGGUGGACUGUGUUUCGGCUGCUACAUGACUGCCCAAGCUGAUUACGACCGCUAAAGACAGCGCUUGUGGCGCUAACGUAACACUCGGCGCAUUGUUUUAAGAAGAGUCCGUGGAAACGCUCUGCUGCACAAUGAAAUUGCUGCAUAGUCUUCUUUUUACGAAAGGUGCGGCACAUUGCAGUAUCUUGUUUGCCGGUUGUUGACGUGCACCCAAAACUGUCUCCUUUCCAUGGAGCUGUAUUCUGUCAAAUAACAGGCACUGUAUUUGUAAAAUAGACAUAUAGACAUAAACUUUAACUAUGAGGAAGAAUGUGUUUUCAACCACUAAAGCAGAGACUAAGAUCUCUGAUCCAUGUAGUUAAUGCCUGGAGUUAUAGCACUGUUGUCCUGUAACCUUGUCUGUAAAAUGAUAAAUAACAUAAUCAAUCAUUUAAAAAUCCUAAAUAUCAAUGUAUAAUUCAGUGAAAUUAACAGAUUUUUUAUUUAGACAUUUCAAUCAUAGUUAAAUGAUGUAUUGAAGAUUACACCGUCCAGAACAUUUGAGUAGAAUUUAUUAUUUUCCUAUUGUCACUACUAGUCCUGCUAUACUGGUAUUUGGUCUUUGUUCAUGCCUUCAUUGAGUUUCCGGCCCCCCUUUGUGUCUGGUACCCAUAAAUCUCUCUUCAUACCCCUUAUGGGCAGGCCUUAAUUAUGUUACAGUAAAUAAAUUGAAUUAAUCAUAGUACAGUAGUUUAAUUCCGACAAGCUUUAAUAAGCUUUACAAACUGUAAUGAUUAAUCAUUAUUAUAUCAAAUAACUUCAAAUUCAAAUGGUGUAUUCAAUAAAUAAAAACGUUUAUAGCUCACAGCUGUCUUCAUCCAUUACAUCUUCUAAUAGCAGCCCACCUGGUGAAGGUAAUUUGGCGAACCACUUUCCUUUUCAGCAUUAAAAGACCUGCUCCUGAUGGACUGACAGCUAUUUCCAAUGAUAGAGACAGCCUGACAAUAGACAUCUCACUUUUAAUCUGGAUUCUCACUUAGUCUCUGAGUCUAUAGUUCUUUGAAUGGAAUGGGCUACUUGCUGAUUGCUUUGGGAAUUUAAAUAUCUCUAUUCCAAGCAUCAAAGUCUGACCUGGGAAAAACACGUGGUUGGUGGUUCAGAAUGAUAAUCGUAACUGUUAUUCAUUAAAAACCUUCACUAGGGUACCUUCAAAGAAGAGACAGAUUGAAGAAGCAUCUAAUGCAUCUGCUGAGACACGACAGGAUCCAGACGUAUCAAACAAAGACUACAAGGUUGUUUAAGGCUGACAGAGGCAUUCAAGCCAAGGCCUGUGCAACCAACUUCCCCAAAUGGCAAAGAUAACAUUGUGAACUUGCGUUGACAUUCUGCUGGACAGUCCAUCAUUGAACACUCGACAGCUUAAUUAAAUGAAUCAGAAUAAGAUCUCUGGAAAAUUAACUACUCCUAAGAGUGAACUGUAAACUGGUGUGAUUAUAAUAAUAAUAAUAAUAAUAAUAGGAACUGAGGUCAUUGCCAGGUCAUUACAAAGUGCACCCCACAUCUUUAACAUAUUUAUUCGACACUCCUGCAUUGUGCACGAAAUAAAAUGAAAAUACAAUCCAAUCAGUCCCUUAAGAUAAGGAAGUUUCUUAAAUACAUUUCAAGUGAAUAAUUUCUACAUCUCUAUUGUGCCCGUUCUGUUUUUAUUGCUUUCACCUUUUUCCACAAAUGCAUAUAAAUACACUCAUGCAAAAAGGUAGACAAGAGUUGGGUAUUAUGGUUCUCUCAUGUUUUUCAAAUACUUUCAAUUAAAAAAAAUGAUACAGAAGUAAUUGUUUUUCGGGGAGGAGGACGAAAGUCAGCACUCAGCUUUAGUCACUGCUGUUAUAAAUCACAAACCAAGCCAGUGAUGCAGGUGUAGUCAUGAAAGUAAUCAGCACUAAAAAAAAUCAGCCUACCAUCACCUAAAUAAUAUAUCAGCGAAUCUGGAAAAAACAUGCAUUCAUCUUCAGUGGACUGCACCAUUUUAACGCUGUGAGCAUAGGUCUCUUUAAAAGAUCAAUCAGAUGACUACAGCUGAUUCAGAACGCUGCAGCUCGAGUCCUCAAUAACACCAAAAAGUAAAUCACGUCACUCAAUGUCUUUGUCAAGUAGGCUUGAGAUCCAAAAAACACUGCCUUAAAGUUAAAAGGAAUAAAAUAUGGACGUAAGAAAAUCAGGCCAAAGAACACGGAGCAUGUGUGAAUAAAUGUAACGUCAUCAAAUCAAAUAGUUGCUCGAUGAAUUCAUGCAUUGAUAUGCAGAUUUUUAACAUUUACAAUUCUAAUGUGUUUAUUAUGAUUAAGUAGUUGUCAGAAAUUACUGGAAAGAUGGUGAUGAGAUUCAGUGUGUGCCCAUGAGAAAGUCAAUAGGAAAGUCUACUCUAAAGUCCUGAAUUGAUUCAGCCCAAAAUGUAUUUAUGAUCUGCUGCCCCCUUACGAACCAUCUCGCCCCCCCAGGUGGUCUGGGACGGGUGUCCUUUCUGUUCCCAGAGUCAGAAGCAGCGUUCAGUUAUUCUGCUCCACGUAUCUGGAACAAACUCCCAGACCCAUUAUAAAAUAUUAUAAUAACAGGCAAGUUAACAUUUCUGGAUCUGUAGUUUUUCAUAUACUUUUAUUUGCCUUGUUUUUGAAAAGAUAAACUUGCCUUGCUUUACUUCUUCUUUUGCAAAAAUACAGAACCUGCUGGCCAUUAACAGUAGCAGAACUGUCCAUAAUGAUUUCACUUGUUCAGUCUAUUACUUUGUACAAAGCUGCAUACAGCAGAGUGCAAUGGCCACUGGGGGUUUCAAGUCAGCUCUGACAAACGGCCAAAGCCGGCAGUGGAUCAGCAGACUCGGGGGCAGCCUGACUUAUCACUCUAACAACAGACACUAUUUCAGCCUCUGGGUUUGUCUGCAGGCUCCUGUUCUCUCUGUCUUCCCUCUCGCUAAUGCCGUAUUCCUCCCCGGCAAGCGAGUUUCCCUGUCUUCUUAUCUCCUGCAAUUCUAAACCAAGUCAGCCUCAAACAUUCAAAAAUUAACAUUAGUGCCAAAAUACGUUGACGUUUAAUAAAUGCACCCAGGGAAAGAUGGCUAAACAUGUUUCUGUUUAACCUGUUAUACCCUCAUUUAUUCAGAUACACAUUUAAAUGUCUAGGUACUCAAGUACAACCAGAGUUAAACAUUUUUUUGCGACACAAACUGAUCCUGAAUGAAGUCUGUUGAAUCUUGUUUCAUACUUCAUUAAAAGACUUCUAGCUUGGGUAAAAGUCACACCAUUUUUGAGUGAAUACAACAUUACUUGUAAUAGUAGUCAUGGCUGAAGGCCUUUUCCUUUUAUUAUAUGGUCUGGGAAAUCAAUUAUUGUGUAUAAACAAAGUCUGUUCAGACUCAUCAUGGGAACCAACUUCACAUUUGACGACUCAAGAGCAACUCCCAGCAAGAGCUGUUGCAUUUAUGAUUAAUACUUGAUUUCUUUCCAAAAGAAAGAUGAACAUUUUCAAAAAUAACCCUCCAUUUUAUGGCUGUGCAGUAAAUAUAUGGUUACUGCCUGAAACUGGUUAGCUUUGUAUGGUAACUUUCCCACAAAGGAGUACUCUGGAUUGCCCAGUAGACCUUCAAAUGCCAUUAGAUUUAAUGUGUUACUUUCUAUGAGAGCGACUCUGUUGAGCUUAUUGGUCUACCAUAACACGGAUUAUCAGUGCUGUAGCUCAAAAUAGCUCCGUGCACGGGCCAACAGGACAUUAUGUAUCUGUUGUAGAAUAUUGAAUAUUAUUUGAAAGAGUAUUCUGAAUCUUUAAAAUAGUUUGGUCUGCAUGUCAGUACGUCUCCCACUCUACAAUCACACAAUCUAAAAGUUUCAGCAUUUAUUUUAUGUGGUCGUGGAUCAUAAUGACAACGUUUGAAUUUUAAAAUUCCCGCUGAAAGAGCCUGAUUGAAAAUGAAUUAGGGACAAACUAAACCUUGCUAAAACUAGCCAUUCAACGUUGUCGAACAACGUGCCAUUAUUAAGUUAAUUUGGUGCCUGUAGCUGUUAGAUGCAAAUGUAACAAGCUGUCAGUGUCACCCGUUUUGCAAAAAUCUUUAUUGUCUGCUCUGCGACACAUGUCUGCACCACUAUAGCUCUGUUUUUCUCAGGCUGUUUCUCCAUCCUUCUUUUGCUCUUUUCUCCGUGUCCCUCUCUGUCAUUCUCACAGUAGUGAGUCCAGGCUUUCUUAUGCACACAAAGCAGAAACAUUUCAGUCCUCUUUUUGAGAUGAUUAUUCAGAGAAUGGCAGACAUGUUUUCAUUGUUGUUGUGGUGAAAAUAAGCAAUAGCAGGUUGUGUGAAGCAUGUGUCUGUGAGAGAAUGACACAAAUCGGUCAGUCAGGGAAAAUGUUGGGGAAACCGUCUUAUAUAUUACAUUGGUAAAAUAUUACUGUAGUAAAUAUGUUCCAUAAUGAUAGAGAUAAGUGAUGUGGUAUAUAACGAACCAUAAAAUGUAUCUAUACUAGACAUGUUUUAUCUAUUAAUGUAAAUGUUUUUUCAACUUUGUUAAAACAAACUGAAGUAUUAAAAUUGUCAUAAUUAAAAAAAAAACAUUGUCGAGGAGGAAUCUGGAAUCUAGAUUGCAGAUUCAAGCGGCUAAAAAGGAGUUUGCUUCAUAUUGUAACGGCUCAGCCUAACAGAUGGAGGGAGGAUCUUUCAGUUGAGCUGCUGCUACUUUGUUCCGAAAGCUGCCUUUAUAAGUGGUUUGGGCAUCUGAUCAAGAACCCUCUAGACGAUUUCUAGGCACGUCUAGUAAUAUAGCCCAGCGUAGAGACAUAACACGCUGCAGCCUGUUAACACCUUUGGAUUACCCACAAAGACUUGGAAAACUCCACUUUUUGACCCUCUAAUUAGUGCUUCUUUCUCAGGUACAAAACCCUAGGGCUUUGACCUAAAUCCUGCAUCCGACCUCAAAAAAAAUCCACGGAUUUGAAAUGCAAUUGAUGCAUUUAUUAGGUGCAAGAGAAAAGAAUGUAUUGAAUGUAAUGAAUUUAUUGAGUUCAUUUAACUGUUAUAAUGGUAGGGAAAACACUGAUAAAUUACGGCAGGCAUAUAUAUAUAUAUAUAUA
Gasterosteus aculeatus aculeatus (three-spined stickleback) is the source of this 45318-nucleotide long non-coding RNA. Lineage: Eukaryota; Metazoa; Chordata; Actinopteri; Perciformes; Gasterosteidae. The record is from Ensembl.